Molecule: long non-coding RNA, 79653 nt
Filed under: Ananas comosus (pineapple)
Lineage: Eukaryota; Viridiplantae; Streptophyta; Magnoliopsida; Poales; Bromeliaceae
Description: long non-coding RNA (ACOM_LNC031214)
Source: RNAcentral
CAUUUUGGUUCAAAAACUUUAAAUUUUUAUAAUUUCUGAUUUGAUUUAUUAAAAUUAUUACAAUCGAGUCCUAAUAUCCAAUCUAAUUAACUAAUAUUGACGUAUUGCUAAUGUAAAAGUGAUAUAUCAUUUUGAUUGCUGGCGCGCCAUCAAUUAUCAUACUCUCAUAUUAUUUUUACAUUAGCGAUAUAUUAAUAUUUAAUAAACUAAAUUACAUAAUAAAGUUUAAUUAUAGUAAUUUUAAAAAUUCGAACUAAAAAUUAUAAUAAAUUAAAGGGAAAACUUCAAAUACCACCACGUGGUUUCACACUUUUUCAUUUUAGUAUCCUGUGGUUUAAAGUGUAUCAAUUUAGUGUUCCGUGGUUUCAUUUUUAUCUUUUUUCUUAUUGAUUCUACUAAUUUUUUUCGUUAAAUCAGUGAUAAAGUUAAAACUAAAAGGUUCUAAAGUGAAUAUUAGAUAAUCCUAGGUGGGGUAUCUGAAGUUUUUUGUAUAUAAUUUAACAAAAUAUUAAUGAAAAAGUUGACGAAAAAAUAAAAAUAAAACCACAAGACACUAACUUGAUACGCUUUAAACCACAAAAUACUAAAGUUAGAAAGUGCGAAACCACAGGGGUGGUAUUUGAAGUUUACCCUAAAUUAAAAUUUUAAGAGGGAAACUUCACAUACCUCAUGUGGUUUCGCAUUUUCUCACUUCAGUACCCUGUGGUUUAAAGUGUAUCAAGUUAGUACCCUGUGGUUUCGCACUUUCUCACUUUAGUACCCUGUGGUUUAAUAUUUUGUUAAAUUAUAUACCCCGAAAUGGAUAAUAAAAAGAAAAAAUUGAAACCAUAGGAUACUAACUUGAUACAAAAAUGAAACCACAGAAUACUAACUUGAUGCAGUUGAAACCAUAGGGUAUUAAAGUGAGAAAGUGCGAAAUCACAAGGUACUAACUUGAUAAACUUGAAAUUAUAGGAUACUAAAAUGAGAAAGUGUGGAUAUUUGAAGUUCCCCAAAUUUAAGACCUAAAUAUGUAAUUCACUCUUCUUCUUCUUCUUAUUGUUAUUAUUAUUAUAUAUUAUUAUUAUUACUUUUCUUUGGAAAACUACUAGCUAUUGUUUCAUCUUUCGCACCAGGCGCGGUGAAAAAUGGGAAAAAAUAUACAUAUAUGUAUGUAUGUAUAAAUCAAACCAAAAAUAGAUCGAAAGAGACAAAAACAAAUACAAAUAGUUUUUUUUUUUUUUUAAAAAAAAGAAACGAAAAAAAGCCCCGAAACAUCAAGGGGCGGUGCGUUGUCGGCUGUUUCGCGAGCAAGGGUUUCGUCUCCUCCUCUCGACCUCCUCCUCUGAUCCCAAUCCCUUCCUCCCCCCCGAUCGCCCGAUUCCCUUCCUCCUCCGCCGGUAAGUCUCCGAAUCCUCGCGAUUGGAUCCUUUUUCCGCUAGAUUCCACAAAAAUUUGAGGUUUUUCCCGUCGAUUUUGGCCUCGGAUUCGUCGGGUUCGGUCCGGGGGUCGGGAAACCCUAGAUCUCGCGCGCUCUCCGUGUUUUGAUCCGUUUUUCGGUUUGGAAAAGGGUGGAUUUUGCGAUUGGAGCGGGGAUCUGGGGUGGUUUCGAUCGGAUCUGGGGGGAGUCACUGGGGAUCAGCUCGAUUUGGUGGUGGAUUUGAUGGAUUGAUCCGUUGUGGUUUGAAUUGGGGCAAGGGGUUGGCUUUUGCGUUUAGGAAGGGGGCGGAGAGGAGAUUAGGUUAGAGCUUGUUGGCGGAGUCGGUUUUGGUGUCGGAUUUGAUGGUGUCACCUUCUCCUCCUCCUCCGCCGCCGCCGCCGCCACCGCCGGCGGCGGUGGAGGAUCAGACGGAUGAGGAUUUCUUUGACAAGCUCGUGAUCGACGACGACGAGUUUGGCGUCGAGGGAUCUCAUGCCGUAUCGAAGGAUAUGGCUAGGGAUUUCUCCAAUCUCAGCCUCGGCAACAUCGGAGCCUCUUUGGAUGAUUUGGGUGAUUCGGGUUUCCCUUCAGAAAUCAAACCCACAAAGGAAAACAAUGGCCUUCCUCCUGCCUCGGAUCCACCCAAAGAUGAUGGUGUUCUGAAACACGAGGAAAGUGGCCCCUUUGGUUCACAGGAGAGCAUCGGAGAGGUUGCAUCGCCGGGCUCGGUGGUUGUGAAGGGUGACGGAUCCAAGGGGACCAGCGUGAAGGAGGUCCAGUGGAGUGCUUUCUCGUCCGAUACACAGCCCUUUGGUCAAGGGGGCUUCGGAUCCUAUUCAGAUUUUCUGAAAGAAGAUGGUUCUUCGGAAAAUUUCAAAAGUGAUACCAACGUCAACGGCAGUUUUGUUGAAAACCCAGUUGAGAAUCAAAAUCUUUAUGGUGGUUACUAUGAUCAGCAAGAAACACAAUAUUACGGGUCGACUAAUGAGCAGGUGCCUGAUGCAAAUGAUGCACAGUAUUGGGAGAAUCUUUACCCUGGAUGGAAGUAUGAUGCAAGCACUGGACAGUGGUAUCAAGUGGAUAGCAUCGAUACUACUACUGCUGCUGCUGCUGCUUCCACGAAUACCCAGUGGGACAACUAUACUGCUACAAGCAUGGAUUCCCAGGUGUAUGGUCAAAAUUCUACUGCUACUACUGCUGCUCCUGCUGCUCCUGCUAAUGAAUCUUUUGAAAUGAAAUCAGAUGUUUCUUAUCUUCAACAAACAACUCAAUCCGUUUUAGAUACCAUUGCAGAAGAGAGUACCACGAAUAGUAUUACUAAUUUGAAUCAGGAGUAUCAGGCCAGCACAGAAUACCCACCGAAUAUGGUUUUUGAUCCUCAGUACCCAGGAUGGUAUUAUGAUACAAACACACAACAGUGGUACACUCUGGAAUCAUACAUGCAGACCACACAGGUGACAUCUAGUACAGUUCAGGACCAGGUGAAUCAAGACUAUAGUGCUUCAGCUGGCUUCGGAGAACAGCAUCAGAACCAAAAUUAUGCUGUAGUAGGUCAAUUGGAGCAAAGCACUAUUCAGGGUACAGGUAACCAAGAGUUUGGAGGGGAUUGGAAUAACUAUAAUCAGCAGACAAUGUGGCAGCCUGAAGCAGCUGGCAAUAAUAAUACUGAAAGUUUGUCAGGAAAUCAGCUUUCUAGGAGUUUCUAUGGUUCUAUGGGGAAUUCAGUAGGUCAGACAAACCAACAAGUGAGUUUCAAAACUUUCGAACCUGUUACAACUCAUAAUUACGGAAGCACUAAUGGUGUGGCUAGUUCUCAGAGCUUUGUUCCUUCAGAAAGCAUGUACCAGUUCAAUCAGCCAAAGCUGGAGCAGAAUCAGCAAGCUUAUUUAUCAAACAGUUACUAUGGCAAUCAGAAUUCUAUGAACUUCUCUCAGCAAUCAUUUCAAAAUGCGGAUCCAUCCUAUUCUCAGUUCUCUUAUAUACCUCAUGAAGGGAGGUCGUCUGCUGGACGCCCAGCGCAUGCUUUAGUUGCUUUUGGAUUUGGUGGUAAACUCAUAGUGAUGAAAGAUGCGAGCUCUUUUAGCACAAAGCUGGACUAUGGAAACCAGGUUUGGCUCUAGCACUUCUCUUGUCUAAUAAACUAAAAUGCAACAAUUAUGGCAUAGAAAUUUCUUACUCUUACUUUUUCUCUUCAGAUUUGCUAGGUUAGGUUUCCUAUAGCUAAUUUGUCUUAAAUUUUUGUUAUUUCUAAGGGUACUUCUGGUGGUACGGUCUCAAUACAUAGCUUAUCAGAGAUUGUGAUGAAUAAAACUGAUGCUUCUAGCUUUAUAAGUGGGGGUGCCUUCGGUUAUUUCCAAGCUUUAUGCCAGCAAUCCUUUCCUGGUCCACUUGUUGGUGGGAACGCUGCAACAAAGGACGUCAACAAAUGGCUUGAUGAGAGGAUCAUGAGCUGCGAAUCUAUCAGCACAGAUGUCCAAAAAGGAGAAUUUUUAAGGCUGCUUCUUUCUUUGCUUAAAAUAUCAUGUCAGCAUUAUGGAAAACUUCGAUCUCCUUUUGGGUCUGGUCCGUCAGUAGAGGUACCUUUGCACUUAAAUUUUUUUAAUUUUGAAUGCAUUACUAUUACUUUCUUGUUAAUUCUCUUAAAAAAGGUGCUUCUUUCUGGGAUGGCAAACAAUGUUUAAAGAGUGGAAAUGGAUUGCAAGUUGCCAACAUACUGUAUGUUGCUCGUGCGGUCAUUUGGUGCAUAUGAGGUUCCCAUAGAAUAUAAUUCAAAUAUUUAAGUACAACAACAUGGUAACAGUAUGUGAUAGACUGAAAGAGAAUACAUAAAAGAUUUAGAAAAAGAUGGGAAGAAAAUAAAUUUGUCAUUGACCAUUACAAUGACACAUUAUUUAGCACUAUAACACAAUAAAUGAUUGUAUCAAACCUUCAGAUAAAUUGACGUAAGGAAGUAUUCUAAAUGCAGAAUACUCAAUAAUCAAUAUUGGAACUACUGAUGUUUCCAAUUUUCAAUACCUUUAUACAUGGUAUCCUUAAAUUACUCAUAUUUAUCUAUAUAACGCAGGACAAUAUGAAGUUGAGUCAUUGAUAAAUAAUUAUGCUCUUUGGGGAUAUGUCUAUAUGGGGAAGUUAAUAGAUAUCUGUAUAUGUCCUCCCACAUGGAGGUGGAUAAACUACUUUUUAGAAUAAUAAUGGUAAAGAAACAUGAGGAUCCCUCCUGCUGUAGGUUGUUUUGAUGUGGAGGUCUUGGGCUCCAUAUGGAUUCGUUGAAGUUAAACUCGGUGUUCUUUAUCAUGAUCCAUGACUCUUCCAUUAUAACAGAAGCAACUGUUGCUUUAAUCAGCACGUUGACUUUAAUCAGCACAUCCUUGCCAACUUUUGAUGAGUGAAGCUAUCAUCGUAAUCCAUCUUUAACGUCCUUAAAGAGUUGUAGCUUAAAUGCGUAAUAUCCCAUUGUAUUGUUAUUCUUUAGUGUAAUCCUUUAUGGAGUUCAACAUGCUAAAGUCAUUUACUUAAUGUAGCUGAGAAUGAAACAUAUGGUGGCUAAUUUUAUAGGUUUUUUAGAUUUGUGACUUUUCAAACUAUCGUGGAUUGUAAAAAUUCACCUGGAAUAGGAAGAACCGAAGAAGCAUUUAAUAUGGUCACUUUUUGACGUGAACACUCUAGUCUUCGAAUGAGGGAGGACACAUCUCAAAUAUAAUUCUCUAUGCAAAGCAAUCCUCUCCUCUUCUAUCUAGAAAUAUUUUCUGAUUGCAUCUGCCAUGAUUCUUUUGUAAUUCUGUUCAUUCUACUUCCUGUUUCUUCUCCUUCCCUCCCUCGCUCACCCCCCUUUCUCUCUCUCUCUCUUUCUCUCUCUCUCUCAACUCCCCUUGAGGACCCUCUCAUAAUCUACUCAUUUUCUAAUAUAUUCUCCCACUCUACUCUCUAAAUAAAAGCAAAUCUAUCAUCGAGUAUAUGCAUUCGCAAUACAUUUGAAUUUGUCAAGACGCAUCUGCUUUUGGUGCCUUGAGUAUAUCUUCAUUCAGGGAGAGAUGGUGGAUUUCUUUGCUUAUUGUAGUAUUUUGUGUUCUUUAUGUCCAAAGGAUUCCUUGUACUCACAAAGGUGGCUAGAAAGAAUCUUGACUGCCCUUUCUAUUCUUGGCUAUGAGCUUUUUAAUCAUCUUACAUUGCUUUUAAGCAACGACUUGACCUAAAAGCUAUUGGACUAUAUUUCCAAAUAAUAGUUUCAUAACACAUGGUAGUUUGUUUUAAAAAUAGAAGCUGUGAGAUACAACUUUAUGAUACACUAUUUGACCGAUUACUGGAUAAGAUCCAUUUGGUUGUUCAUAGUUUCUUGUUUUAUCCAUUAAAUAUAUAUCCAGGUUUUUUCCUGCUAAUAUGUUCAUAGUCUUUUUGAAGUUUCGCACUUGUUCUAUGUUCAAACAUAUUCGUCCUUAGUAAUAACAGUUUUGACAUUUUCAACUAAAUUCUGUUUCUUAUUGACAGGAAAAUGAUGGUCCAGAAAUGGCAAUAACUAGGCUCUUUGCAUCUGCUAAGAAAGCCAGUGCUCAUCUCAAUGAUUACGGCUCUGUCACACAUUGUAUGCAAAGCCUUCCCUCUGAAAGCCAGAUCCGGGUAAUACUUUUUUAUGUCCAUGGUUAUUCUAAAACAGUUUUACUUCGAGUACUUUAUGCAUAUAGACCGUAUUUUUAGGCAACUGCUGUUGAGGUACAAAACCUUCUAGUUUCUGGUAGAAGAAAAGAGGCUCUCCAGUAUGCACAGGAUGGUCAGUUGUGGGGAGCUGCCCUUGUUCUUGCUGCUCAGCUUGGCGAGAAGGUUUGUGCAACUACUAUGGUUUUCUACAAUAAGCACUUACUUUAUUGGUGACUUUGUUGACCUGAUUUUUUUCCCCCUUUCUUUUUGUUAGUACUUUGGCAAAUGCAUUUUUUUUCUUGGUGGCUAAAAUAGCUUUUUGCUGCAAUCUAAUAUACUCUCUUGUUACCCAUGAACUGUGAUGCAGUUCUAUGUUGAUACUGUGAAGAAAAUGGCUCAUCGCCAGUUUGUAUCAGGAUCACCUUUAAGAACAUUAUGCCUUCUUAUCGCUGGGCAACCUGCAGAUGUAUUUUCGGGAGAUAGCCCAACCAAUAGCACUUAUGGUGUGUUAAAUGCUCUACAACAGCCUAUGCAGGUAAUUUCUCUGCUAUUAUUUUCUUCUCUGGUAGUUGAUUUGAUGAUUUGCUUGAACUUAGCUUGCCAUGUCCCCCCCCCCCCCCCCCCCCCCCUGCACAACCCCCUCCUCUUUUUCUCUUCUCCGCACUUCAGUGAAUUGUUUUAGAAAUACUUCUGUGCCUGUUCUGUGCCACUUUAUGAGCUUAUUUACUGUUUUCAUGUGACUAUAGAAUCAAACCAGUGGCAUGUUAGAUGACUGGGCAGAGAAUUUGGCUAUAAUAACUGCGAAUAGAACCAAGGAUGACGAACUUGUGAUGAUUCAUCUAGGAGAUUGCCUUUGGAAAGAGAGAGGGGAGGUACGUAUAUUGCCUUUUGCCUGCUUACGUCUUCUUUUGGGAUAUUCACUUGUAUAAACUUGCAGAAUUAUCUGUAUUCCUAUAUACAGUAUCUUGCAAAAUCUGAAUCUUCAUGUAUGCCCUGCAAAAGUUCUAUUUCUUAUAUAUCCCUGCAUUUACAAAAUGACCUCCUUAACCACAUUCUACUUGAAAACUGACUUUCAUGAAUUUGAUGAUGCCCCAGCUUAAAAUAUGGCUAAUUUAUACAUACAUACAACUGCGCUUUUGGGGACGUAUACAGAAACUCAGUUUUCUACAGAGUAUAUUGUAAAUUGUAAAUAAAUGAUUUUUCGGGGAUACAUACUUGAAGAAAGCAGGAGUGCAAGCCACUCAAGCGGGAGAAGGUUUUCUGACUAAAGUUUUGUGAUAUAUUACAGCUACGUGUUGUUUGAUGCAGGUAACUGCAGCGCACACCUGCUAUUUAGUUGCGGAAGCAAAUUUUGAGGCCUACUCUGAGAGUGCAAGGCUCUGCCUCGUUGGUGCAGAUCACUGGAAAUGUCCUCGAACAUUUGCGAGCCCUGAAUCUAUUCAGGUGCUUUAUCUUUUACUUGUUAGACAUGCUUUGACAAAUUUGAAAAUGAUUUCCUGCUUACUUUCUUAACAUGCUAAGAAGUAUUCUUCGUGGGAAGACUAAGUUUUCUAUUUAGAUCUUCCUUCCAGAUCGCUUUUAACAGCAUUCUAGGUCUAUUCACCUCAUUUCUGGUGUGAUGAUGUCUAUGUUUGUCCGUUUGGAUUUUUGUCAAAAUUGGAGUGGGAAAUAAAGAAAUUAGAUUUAUCAAGACGGCAAUGAACCUUUUUCUUUUCUUGCCCCCCCUCUUUUGCGUAAAAUUUCAUUCAUUCUCAUAUUGAUUGAUUGUCUGAUGGUACGAUGCUAUGUUGUCAUAUGUAAUAGGCAGAAUUGAAAGGAGACUCGUAGCCUUGUUUGGUAUUGUGGUGCCAAAAGCACCUGCUUUUAUGUUUUGAAAGGCCCGAAAAAUCCAAUAGUGCUUCCAAUUUGCCCUCCGUCAAUGCUAUAAAAUUGCGGUGGGAACCGCCACUGGAGAAGGAAGCGGUUACGAGCUUCUUCGGUGGCAGUUCCCACCGCAAUUUCAUUGCAUUGGAGGAGGGAAGAUUGGAAGCGUUUUUGGAUAUUUGGGGCCAUCCAAAGCAUAAAAGUAGGUGCUUUUGUGCCAUUAUAAGUAGGGUUGUCAAUGGGUAUGGAUACCCGAAAUUUUAUCCGAACCCGAAUCCGAAUGAAACGGAUAUAUCCGGUGAAUAUGGAUAUGGAUUCGGAUAUGGAUAUAAAAAAUAGAAACCCGACGGAUAUGUAUUCGGAUAUGGAUUUUGAUUGUACCCGACCCGAACCCGAACCCAACCCGAACCCAAAUUUAUUUUGUAUUAUAUAUAAUAUAUAUAUAUAAAAAUUUGAUGUUAUAUUUGAAUUUGUAUUUUAAAAAUUUAGGUUUAAUAUAAUAUAUUUUGAAAUAUUGAAAAAAUAAAUAAUUGUUUCGGGUUCAAAUUUUCGGGUUCGGGUUCAGGUUCGGGUUCGGGUUUCGGAUUUUUGGUCGGGUUCGGGUUUGGAUAUGGAUUUUUAAAAUCCGUCGGGUUCGGGCUCGGGUUCGGGUCUCCGGUUUGGAGUCAGGUUCGGGUUCGGGUUUUUAAAAAUCCGCCCCGAAUCCGACCCGUUGACAUCUCUAAUUAUAAGUAGACCCCUCAUUUUUCUUUUUUGGAGUGAGACCUCUCAACCUUUGAUUGUCUGAUUUUUUAUUGCAUUCCGUCAGCUGAAUUGGGGACUCCGUUAGAGUUAAUGUCGAUGCCACCUCUUCAGUUGACAGAAUUGUGAAUCUCCUUUGAUAGUUGACAGCUAGCAACUGAUCAAGCCCCCAAUUCAGCUGAUUGAGUUACUAAAAGUCAAGAGGAAGGAAUUUGCAGGGUGUCGGUUGAAAGAAGUAAAGUUUGGUGUUCUCUAGUUCAGCGGGUUCCAAUACAAUUUCUUUUUCCUACAUAAGAUGUACACACACUUCUUUUUUGUUUGUCAAGGUUUUUUAUUUUUGAUUUUGUUUUGUUCUCGAUGAAUUUCUUACAGAGAACAGAGUUAUAUGAAUACUCCAAAGUGCUCGGCAAUUCUCAGUAUAUCCUUCUACCAUUCCAGCCAUACAAGCUAAUCUAUGCCCACAUGCUUGCCGAAGUGGGGAAGAUUUCUGAUUCAUUACGGUAGGGUUUUUAAUUAUUUUCCCAUUUCUUUGGUAAUAUAUUCUAACUCAUAUUUAACCUCUUAUGAUCUAGGUAUUGCCAAGCGUCUUUAAGGAUGCUAAAAUCAUCUGGCCGCGCUCCUGAAGUAGAAACAUUGAAAUCGUUAUUUUCAUCCCUUGAGGAGCGAAUACGUACCCACCAGCAGGUAUAGCAUCCGUACAAUUUGCUUUAGGGUUAAUUACAAGUUGGUCCUUGAAGUUUGUUCCCGAUUUUCAAUUUCAAUUAAGUUUUUAGUUUUCCAAUUUUAACAGUUUAGCCUUUGGAUCUUGUUUGCCAUAAUACUUUAGUUCUUCCAUUACUCUACUGUGUGAAAAUGCAGUGCUAGUAUCAGUAUGAGAGUUCACUGCAGCCCCAAUCUCAAACUGAUAUUUCAUUCAGCAAAUGCUAAUAAUGAUUGCUGAUUUGGCGUCUUUUUCCAUGUGGUAGCUUCCCUACAACCAUCUCUUGGGACGCUCUAGAGAGUAAAUUGUUAAUUGAAAUUGAAGACGUAUUGAAAUCAGAUCAAACUUUGAGGGCUAAAUAUGUAAUUAACCCUUAAUUGUUGUUUAAACUAAUAUCCAUUUUAAAAGUGUACUAAUAUUUCUUUUCUUGUUCUUCAAGGGUGGAUACAACACAAACCUUGCCCCAGCUAAAUUCGUAGGGAAAAUCUUUACCUCAAUCGACAAGUCGAUCCAUCGCAUGAUUGGGGCGCCGCCUCCACCUCUUCCCCCAAUGCCUCAAGGCAGUGUGAGCAGUGUGAAUGAUAAAGAACGCUAUGCUGUGGCCCCACAGAAGUUUGUAAAUAGCCAAUCAGCGAUGGCGAUGUCAUCUCUGAUGCCAUCAGCAUCGGUCGAGUCGAUAAGUGAGUGGACUGGGGAUAAUAGCGGUGUUAGGAAGAGUAUGCACAAUAGAAGUGUUUCAGAGCCAGAUUUUGGUAGAAGCCCGAAACAGGUCUCUCUCUCUCUCUCUCUCUCUCUCUCUCUCUCUAGAGUAGAAUAUGCAACUCAAUUUGCUUAAAGGUAAGGAUAUUCUAAGACCCUCUUAACUAUAGGCUUCUUUGAAAUAGAAUCCUCAGUUUAUUUUUUAAAAUUGAUAGUCAAUUCUUUUUUCUUAGCUGAUUUGGCAACUGUUCAAUUGAAUUGACAAUACAGUCGGUGAAAUCAAAUUACUCAAAACUCGAGUGUCAAUAAGAAAAGGUGAGCGGUUUUUAAAAAUGGCCUAUAGUUGAGGGGGUCUUCGUACAAUUACCUUAGAAUCGAGCUGCACUGAAUAAAGAUCCUCCUCUUUGCUGACUUUAUGUUGUAUUUAUAAACAGAAGGCAGGAUCGGUUGGUACACAAAGCAAAUCAGCCGAAUUGGGUAGUUCACGGUUCGGGAGGUUUGGCUCUACGCUUCUUCAGAAGACCAUGGGGUGGGUCUCCAGAUCCCACCGACAGGUACUUUCUUCUUCAGUAUUCAUCCUCUCUCUCUCUCUCUCUCUCAUUUUAGCUUAUAUAUAUAUAAUUAUGAAUUUUGGCUUCUUUUUUUUAUGUUCCUGUAGGCGAAACUUGGUGAAAGUAACAAGUUCUACUAUGACGAAAAGCUGAAGAGGUGGGUGGAGGAAGGUGCUGAAACUCCAGCCGAGGAAGCUGCUCUACCACCUCCUCCCACCACAACCUCUUUCCAGAAUGGUAUGCCGGAUUAUAACACUAAUAUUAGCAGUCACCAUGCAGUAAAAAGCGAACUCCACACUGCUAAUGGAAUCCCUGAAGCAAAACCCCCGAAUCUGUCUGAAUUUAGUCCGGGAAUCCCACCAAUUCCGCCUAGCCAGAACCAGUUCUCAGCUCUCGGCAGAGCGGGUGUUCGGUCAAGGUAAUCUUUUGUGGUACCAUUAACUAUGGGUUAAUUAUUUCAUGAUGCUCCUCACUUCAACUAUCCGCUUAUUAACAUGCAACAUAAACCUGCUAAUUUCUCAUUUUGCAAUUCUGGUUCACUCUUUUUUUUAAAAAAAAAAUGGAUCAAAAUCUUUUUUUAGACAAAACACCUUUGGCUUCUCGAUGAUAUAUGCUUGAGAUUUAUCUUUCUUUCUUCCUUGAUGGGACUGAAAGCCAGUAGACAACGCAGAAGAAUAAUUUAAACCUUUUUGUUCCUCAAUAACAUUUACCUUUUUUGUUCGCUAAUAACAAAGUCAUCGGUUUUUUACUGUCAGAUAUGUGGAUACAUUUAACAAGGGCGGAGGUGGUGGAACUGCGACAAACCUUUUCCAAUCACCUCCUGCUGCUCCAUCUGUAAAGCCUGCAGUAAACGCUAAGUUCUUCAUUCCCUCCGCUCCUGUCACCGUUGACGAAAAGAAAACCAAACAACCCUUAGAAACCAGCCAAGAACCUCCCACCACCUCGGAAGAGCUGUCCACAUCAGCAGUAACUGAAGUCUCAUUCUCUUCGCCGCCAUCUGCUUCAUCAUCCUCACCAUCGAUGCAACGGUUUCCGAGCAUGGAUAACAUGACUCCUUACGGAAACAGAAGGCAAGGACCUGUGUCGGAGCGCGCGAAUGGCCCUAUAUCAAGAACUCGAGCUGCUUCUUGGAGCGGCAAUUUUGGGGACUCAUUCAACACCGUGAGCACGGAAAGUAAGCCUAACUCGUUGGAUGGACAAACUGUUCCGUCUUCGUUCAUGCCCGCCAAGUCUCUGCAGUUUAGUGGAAGCUCUUUGUCGGACGAUCUUCAUGAGGUGGAGCUCUAACAUUUGGCCAUCAUCAUUACGGGGAUGGCCGUGCUUAAUUAUCGGAGCCUCUCUCUCAUCCUCUGUCCCAAGAUCUCCCAAGAAAGUCAAAUGGGGCUCGAGUCAGGUAUCGGUUUUACUACCGGAUUUGUUGUGAGAAAUCUUCUCGUUUGAUUAGAAUCAGAAAGAAAAAGGGAAAAAAAAAAGAGGCACCAUUCCGAGGUGCUUCCUGUAUUAAAUUCCAGAUUUUUGAGUUUACCUUGUGGUUUAAUGUUCGCAAUGUCGAAAGUGGUGUCCUGUUUACAUGAAAAAAAGAAAAGCAUGUAGACGCCGUUGUACAGAUAAUUUGUCAAUUUAUUCGAACAUGAAAAGUUCCCAUUAUAUUGUUUUUUUAAGAGAACAGGCAUCUGGGAAAGAAGAAAUAUUUUAGAGAGCGACGAGGGCAAUUACAAUCUAUCUUUGUAAAACGAACACAAAUAAUCAGUUCUUUACAUGUCUGAAUUUUGUGAAGUCUUGGUUUUGUGAACUCCUUUGUUCUUCAAUUGGAUCUUGCAGUUGCCUCAUUUUCACUAACUGAGUUGUGUUUAUUUAUGAAGCAAACAUGUACUGAUGCAGUUCGUCUUCGCCUUGACUUUAGUUUAUUGAUUGAAGAUAUGUUCGCUGAAAAGCGGAUCUACUUUUUUUGUUCUUUAUGAGCAGGUCGUCCUUGCGGUUCACUAACCUUGCGUUGAGCUCCGUUGGUUCUUGCGGUUUUUUCGGAAUCUGGAAACCGAAGCUACAGGUUGAGACUUUGCGGCUUUUAGGGAAUCUGGAGAGACAAAGCCACAAGUUUAGAAUGUGGACUGUUUGAGUGUUUCUGGUUACUGAGCUUCGUUGUCGGUCUUGUUGUUGUUCGGAAAAGAAAAGCAAGGCAUUAUGUUGGUGUUGGGGGUUCAGCUUCUGCUUUUACUGCUGUAGGAAGCUGCUGAGCGAAUUGUAAUGUAGUUUUUUGUGUAAUUUUGAGGAACCAAACUUGAACGGUGUUGCAGCAGAUAUUUCAGCAGUUCCACAUCUGCAUCAGAAGUAGGGAAAGGUAUCUGUAUCUGAUAGAAGAACAAAGUCAAAAAAAAGGGUGCAAAAUGAAAAAGGGGUUGACUUGUCAAAUAUCCGUUUAACUAUUAUUCAUUGCGUGUUGUGCCGAUACGAGCUGGUCACAAAAAUUACAAGAUUUUUUUUUUUCUUUAAGAACAAAAUAUUUUAAUUGUUUAUUUUGUGCCUUUAUCAAAUCUUUUAAAUUUUAUUAAAAAAUUAUAUAUUAAUUUAAAGAAAAGAAGGUUUCGGUUCUUGCUGUUUUGAACUAAAAAAUGAGAGAGAUUUAUGAAGUCUAAGGUUUUUUACUUAUUAAUAAAUAUAGUUGCGAGAAUUGCAUAAAGUGUACUAAUUAAAUUUGUAGAGAUAAAUACUAUUGACUAAAUGAAAUCGAUUAUAUUAAAAGGUUAGAUAAUAAAAACAAAAUUUUGAAAAGUUGGAUAACCGGUUCAAAAUUGUUCAUAGUUCAGAAGAGGUUCAUAUAUUUUUACUUUGAUUUUAAUAUCAAACUUUAAUGUCAUAUUUAUAAUCUAAUCAGCGAUCAACUUUAUAUUCAAAAUUUUGGAAUAAUUCAAAAAAUGAUUGGUGGACUUCUAAUUUUAACAAUUAUGAUUUAUUAGAUAGUCUAAUAGAUUUUUUUUCUCUCGAAUGAAAUUACUAAUUGAACAAAACCGAUCAAUACUUAACUCUGUCUUCGCUUGAAAUACAAAUAAAGCAUAAAAAGAAAGAUAAAGUUUCGUGACACUUUAAUCCUCGAUUUUUCAUGCGCUACAGUUUUUGUCUUAAAUUGUAAGCCACGUGAUACUUUAGUUCUCAAAUUUUAAAUAGUUGCAAAUUAUUACUGAAAUAUGAUAGUUUAGUCCUCAACUUUUACUGUUGCUAUAAAUAUAAUUUAUUAUUCUUAUGAUUCUGCCCCUAUUAUUUCACAUCCUUCUUAUAUAUUUAUUAUUAUAUUUUUAUUAUAGUAGCAGCUACUUCUUCUUUAGUUUGGUUUGCCAUAGGCAUAUCUUGGUCCUCAUUAAUUGGCCACCUACCUAAAAAUAAUUUUAGAUUCAGAAUUACUUUUGGACUCAGUAUAAUAUUUGGCGACUGAAAUAAAAAAAUCUGAUUUUACUUUUCAGAAUCAAAAAUUUUUUUUCAACCUCUAAAGUCAAAAACAGAAAAAAAAAAUAUUUUUCCAAAACUGAUUCUGACAAGGAACAGUUUUCCCCCUCAACAACUUUAUGAAAAUACCAAAUCUACCCUGAACAAAUAAGACAACUAACUCUACUCUACCUUUUUAUAAAUAAUUACACUUUCCAACCACCACUUUCUCACUCUCAUACUCCUUCCAUCCCAUACUCCUUCCACAGCCAUCUAUGCACUACAACCCAAAAAAAAAAAAAAAAAUUCAUUUCUAGAUCUAGUUAAUUAAUUACAGUGUCGAUCUUUCUAGCAAUAUUUGAUAAGAUGUAGGGUCAAUAAUUUUGAUUUUGUUAUCCUUUUUUUUUGUUUAUUAAUUUAUUUACAAAUGUAUAAAAUUUUAAAAAAAUCAAAUUAAAUAUACUUUUCGAUAUAUAUAUAUUAUAUACUGAAAAAAGGCUAAAUUUGAGAAAUUGUAUAAAAAAAUAAAGUUUAAAGUUUUUAAUUUUAAAUAGUUUUUGUACUAAAAUCUCUCUCCCAACAGUUGGGAGGCGUAAUUUGGUCCAAAUAGACCAAAGUACCAUACCCAACCCCAGUGCACAUGGACAUGUGUGUGUGGGUGAAAACUGAGCCCUGGCCCAAAAAAGGCCAAGACCCGAGGCUAAUAUGUAUGAUCACACUUUGGUACCGAAAAAUAUAACUUUGAUAUAAGAUAUUUAGGUUUUAUGAUAUAUAUAUAUAUAUUAUAUAUAUAUAUAUAUAUCAUAUAUAGAGUUCGGCUGGAAUAACAUUGAUAGCAAGAACGUUCUUUUGCUAUCAAGUUUAGCUUUUGAUCAACCUUUAUUAUUUAACCAUUGAUAAAUACUAUAACCCAGUGGGGACCACUAUCAACUUCUAACCGACUAAUAUCAUUCCUAACGCCUAUUACAAUUUUCAUCCACAGGUUAAAAACUUGAUAGCAAAAGGAGCUUUCAAAUAAGUAUUCCAGCCAAUUCUAUUAUUUUGCUAUCAAGUUUUUAACCUUGAUAAAAAUUGUAGGGUCGGAUGAUAUUAGUCGUUAAGUUGAAGUGGUUCGCGCACUGGGUUAUAGUAUUGUAAUCAAUGGUUAGAAAUAUGAAAGAGUUGAUCCAACAGCUAAAAACAACUGGUAGCAACAAUGAGAUUUGCUACUAAUAGUAGCCACAGCUCCAACAAUAUUAUAAUAUUAAUAUAUAUAUAAUAUAUAUAUAUAUAUAUAUAUAUAUAUAGAAUAUAUAUAAUAUAAUAUAAUUAUUUAAAUAGAAUGAAUGAUAAAAUAUAUAGCCAAAUAUAUAUGAGGAUAUGUAUACAAACUAAGCUGGAAACAUUACAUAGCACGCACAUGACUUGGUGCUAUUAAGUUUUUCUGGCCGUUGAUUAAAAGAUGUGAGGCUAAAUGAUGUGGGUCAGCCCUUGUUUAGUAGGCGUUUAGUUGAAUAGUAUAUCAUCGAAUCGGACGAAACUGAUAAAAGAGAUAAAGAAUGCUAAGCCAGAAAAAAUUGAUAGCAGCAAAAUGUGUUCGAUGCUAUCGAUAUAACUAAAUACUAAUAUAUAAUAUCUAGAUAUAUUUAUUAUUUAUUCACUAUGAGAUAUUUUUUUGAUUUAAACUGCAAAAUAAAAAUAUAUAUGGAAUAUGUGACAAAUGCAUAAAGUAAGCACCAACAAAGCGCGAUAGGUAUUGGGCUUUGGGCCUGGAGCGGGCCUUAAUUUUUGUAAAAAUUCAGAUCGGAGCCCGACCCAAAGCCCAAGUUUUUGGGCCGGGUUUGGGCAUAGUAUGCUCCGACAGAACCCGGUCCAGUUCCAGCCCUACAUGUAUAUGUACAUGUAUAUAUAUGAAUAUGGAGUAUACAUGUAGUAGAGGAUAAAGAACUUAGAGAAGUGUGUUAGGGAGAUUUCAAGCUCCAAAAUAUAUAUAUUUGUAUCUUUUGUUAUAAUACUUGCUUCUUUUUUCUUUUUCUUUUUUUUCUUUUUUUUUUUUUGCAGGCCACGAGUAGCGCAACAUUGACUGUUGCAGACGAAGCCAUUGAUAGUUUUUCAAUGACAAAGUUAGGAAUUAAAAAUGGAUACUAUCAAAAAUUAUGCUGGAGCAGACCCUUACAGUGUCAUCAUGGUUAUGGAAGACAUUCCAUUUAGUUACUACGAUGUGAUGAAAGAUUUGGGUCAUCAUAACAUCCUGAGUUGCGAAAAGUCGCUGUUGAUUACGGAGACGAUCGACGGCACUUUGGCGAACUACGUAAGGACGAAAGCAGAAGAGUUAUUCCUCCAGGAGAAUGAAUGAUGGCUCUUGUAGCCUCUCGGAAAGUUUUAAAAUAUUAAUCGAUUAAGAGCCUAAUACUUAAUUUCUAUCGCGUUUUGAAUCUUAUUUAAACGUAUAACAUUUCAUUUUCUAGGGACGUUUUGGAGGUUGGUCUCAUGUAUCUACACACAAUGAAGGUUUAUCACAACAACAUGCAUGCGAAGAACACAUCCGUCAGAGGGUAGUUUGGUGACAAAAUUUACGUGAAGCUUAAUUUCUUAUUUCGGAGGUAAUAAUAUGUAUCAUCUUUUUUACCAUAAUACUUUUCUAUAUUUUUUUCCUCUAUAUUAUGAUGCAGGGAGGCAUACAACAAAAUACGGGUCACAAGAGGAGUACAACAGAGGAGUGAAAAAGGAUUAGAGGAACCCGAAAACUCUUAUAAAAGAAUGCUACAAAGUUUGCGAAUAUCAACCCAGCAGCAUAGUGAGGAGCUUUUUCAAGUUCUUAGAUGGAAAUUCUGUGAAUCGGUAGGCCAUUUUAUAUAGCAAUAUUAACUUUUUUAAUUCUUUUUAUUUAAGUAAUAAUUAAUUGAUUUGUCUUAAACAUAGGACUACAAUUUUUGAACACCCAAUAUUCUGGGACGAUAUGGAUAAGAGACACUAUCUCUUUUGGCUGAGGAGUGGAUCAGAUCCGCUUCGCGUUAAGAACACACUUAAUAAUUCGACGCUGCUGCAAUGGCCCCACGACGAGAGGAUUAAUCCGAUCGUCGAAGAAGAGAACGAGAGAGGAGAGAAUAACUAUAGCAUGGCCUCGCCUUAUGAUUUUGUAAGACUAAUCGAUAACAAGCUCAUGAACUACGAGGAAUUGCCUGAGGAUUUCAAGGUACAGUUUUUUAGCACUUAUAACUGCAUUUUUUUUUUAAAAAAAAAUUAUUUCUGACUUAUUAUUGUAAUAACUAAUACUGUUUUCUUUUUGUCAACUCGCAGUGCGAAUACGGGACACAUCAAGAUGCGUUUUUAUAUUAUGUUGAAGGUUUAGUGCCGAAUAUUUGGGAAAUCUUAUUCGAAGAACUUGGUCCGAUCGCGAAGAUAUGAUCUCCCGGAGUUUAGAAGUGUAUCUACUUUGUGGUGAAACUAUGCAGAUUCUUUUCAUUUUCGUGCGCCAAACCAUUAAACAAUAUAGUUUUCUUUAUAUUCUAAGACCUUUCUUUAUAUGUGUUCUUCUUCUUGCAUUUCAGAUUUUGUACAAUUAUAUUAUAUAUAAGCGUUGUUUGAUUGUACGUACAUUCUUACUUGAUAUCUAGAAUUAUGAACUACACGGUUGAAAAAUCAAAAUUUUAAAAAAUUGAAUAGUCGAUUCAACAUGGUUCAUAGUUUAGUAAAGUUCGGUAUAUUUUUACUGUACAGAGUUUUAACUAAAUCAUGAACCAUUUUGAAUCACCUAUCCAAAAGGCUUGAUCUAUGAUGAUAAUUUUGGCAUGAAACUGAAAAAAAGUUGCUGAGCACAAAUUGAUGUACUGUCCUUAUUCUAAUCAAGAGAAUGAGUGAUACAAUUUGAUAUAAUUUGUUUUCUAAUCUAUGGUCUUGCCUUUUCUUUUCUCUUCCUGAAAAGAAAAACAAAAACAAAAACAAAAAAAAAAUGUAUAACUCAUCAUCUUACAGCGCAUGAACUGGAUACAAAAUAUGAGCUUCUUCAAGUGAAGCUCAAAGAAUGAAGUAAAAACAAAGUACAAGAAAAUUAGGAAAAUUUUGAUACAAUGAAACAUAUGAUUCCGCAGCACCGAUUGAGCUCGAGAGUAUGCAUUACAUCUGUGAACAGCAAUAUAUAACAAAAUUCAGUGAGCCCAAAUCCAUCACCGCAACUUUCUAAGCAGCCAACCUAAGAAACCUAAACCAUGAUCCGAAAAUCAAAACACAAAAGCAUAAUUUUCUGUUUUUCCACUUUCCAAACCAAUCCAGAAUGAAGAUAAAAGUGCCCAUUAUGGAUGUCGUGAUGAUAAUGCCGAGUUAAGAGAACUUGGUCCCCAACAGGUAGCUAAAGGACUCUCUCUAACUAGAGGAAACCCAAGGUGCCAUCUCAUUUUUUAUUCUCUUUUUAGUGCUAAGUGUGGUAGAAGGGCUGCUUAAUAAGUGAAUAUCUCCCUCCAAGAAUUGGAUAUGAAAUACUUUUUUCUUCUGGAGUCUGGAAGUUUAUUUCUUCAACCUUUCACUGCAGUAGAAGCUUCAGAUUUAUUAUUUGCAACAUGCAUGGCUGCUGUUUUUUGAGGUAGGGAAGUUGCCAAAAACCAAGAAUCUUGCCACCAUUGAUUGGUUUCUUUUGAAUGCUUCUUUGAUAUCUGGAAAGGAAACACAUCAUUCAUAUUAUAAAUUAGGGAAAAAGAAACUUGAAAACAUCAGCACAUUAAAAUUAAAAAAAAUAAUAAUCAAACAUACUAUAAAACAAAGAGGAAUACAAAGAAAUGUAAAAUGAAUAUUAAUUAUACUGAACAUUUUGCUUGUCCUAGAGCAUAAAGCAAAAGAAAUGCGAGCAUCAGAUUUACUAUCUUCUCUCCCAGUUUAUCGGUUUGAAACUUGAGGAAGGAGCAUGGAACUAACAAGAGAACAAAGUUAGCAAUUAACAAUUAAAAGAAAAAGGUCUUAGUUGCAGAUGACUAAGAAUUUGAGCACCAAAAUUCCGCAGUUAUAAAAGCUGCACAAAGUGGGCAGUAGGCUUGAUCAGGAGCAACAAAAUGAGAACAUGAUGAGGAGGACGUUAGGAGAAGAGAAAUAACAAGGACUAAACAGUUAGCAGUUGCUAUAAGUUUAUUCAUGGAGGUACUAGAAGUCUUAUGGAGUACACCAGCUCCGCAAGAAUUUAAAAACUUUGAACUGGUUAGCAAAUAUAAUUUUAUGUAAAAAAUGUAUAAACCUUGCCAGAACUAUGCUGCUCUUUGAAACGAGUGCAUAAAAUAAAAUUUCAAUUUUACUACCUAGCCUUGCAUUCCUUCUGAUUCUACAAAACUUUCAGAAAAUUUUGUCAAGUUGAACAGUUUCAUUUGUUAGCUUAUACAAUAUUCAACUAAAUAAAAUACAAUCUAUUAGAUUGCAAAUAUGCUGUUAACAAAAUCAAAAACACUGUUGAAUUUUGAUUGGAAUAUACUAAAUCAAAGGUUAUUACAAGAUUGGUGUUAUUAAGAAAUACCUACUCUCACUCAGACUACAGUAAGUAGUUUUCAACUCAUACGCAAAUAUGCAAUAGCAAUCUUGCAUCAUAUUAUACAAUCCAAUUCAAAAUUAUUUCAGAGUGGCCAAUUGCUUGAUGGAUCAGUUGCAUUAGAUUCAUCUACUUAUCCUCAUUUACUAUUAGGAUGGCAAAGGGCUAAGCUAGUGCCCCACAACAUUUGAACGUUCAAAUUACACAUUAAAGGCCUGAAUACAAAAUAAUAUUACUGUAAGUAAUGAAUUGCCUUAUUCAUUUUUAGGAGAAAAAGAAAUUUCUUGACAUGGUUUAAACAUAUGGAAAGCAAUAAUUUGAGACAGAAAAACUCACUCCCUGUUUUUAAUUCAUCCAUAGAGCUCUUGGAAUUGAUGCAACCGCUGGCGAGAUUAGAUCGAUGAUAACUGGUACAAAUGUGUAAAAAAAUAGUUUAGUAGUAGAAAUAUGCAAUGACAUAAGAUUUGUUUGAUGGUCUAGAAGAAAAAGGUGCUUUAGUAUAACUAGAAAAGUCAUAUUUUACCCAACUGAUAAUCCAAAACAAUCUUGUCAUACUGCAGAGCACCAGUGUGAAAAAUUAUUGGAUACAAGCACUAUAUUGGAAGGUUUACCAUUAAUAUGUAGUAGAUCUGAUGUUAUAUGUCUGGAUAAUAUAUGCAUAAAGUCAAAGACAUAUUGCCUUAUAAUGAAUCUUACUAUAAUUAGCACAUGUAUAGCAGAGAAGGGUAAAAGAAGCUUUAACAGUAAGAAUAACACAAUUACUAUACACGAAACACAACUUCAUCAGGCAACUGGAAGAUUUAUGGAGGUAAUGCAUUUUGGAUCAGCAGGCAACAGCUAGCCAUACUGAAGAGCAGACGAACAAUAAAAUGAUGCAAAAGCUAAAAUCCAGGGAAACCUCUUAUAAAUAUUGUGAUUUUCACUUUGACCCCUGAAAUAUUAGAAUUCACACUUUAACACAUUGACCCAUAAGCAAAGUACUACGUAUCAUCCAUGGAACACUAAAAGAAGGCAAAAUGAUGAAGAAUCUUAAUUUAAGCAGGUAAUAUAUAGAUUCUUAUAUUUCAGCGUGGCAAAAUGAAAGUAUCUGAUAUUUACAGGGGAUAUCCAGCAUUUUAGUCACAAUAAAUUAAACGAAUCUUACCUAUGUAGCACUUAUGCUUCUCAGCCAUCAAUUAACAUAUGGGCUGAUGAUCUCAGAAGAGCCUUGCCCAAAAUGCAAUCUGGCAUCAACAAUUCUCUCUUAGUGAAUUUAAGUAUUAUGACAAAUCCAUAGCUGUCCAAGCCACUUUAAUCCAUAACGACGGUUCUUCAGGUAUGAGCUCAAGGACAAACAGUCUUAGUUGUCUACUGAUAGCUCUUAAAGAAGUGGCGCCAGAGCCAAGGAGAAAAAAGCCUCAGCGGUGUCACACUAGUUUAGCACUUUAGCCUCUAUGAACCAGAACAUGUUGUAGUAAGCCCCCCUGAGGAUCCUAUGGCGCUGCUGUAUUCUCUGCCCUCCAAACCAAAUUCAAGUAUAAACUUAACACUGUAGGGCAUGUUUGUUAUUUUGUGGUUGUGAGUUCCUAGGAACUCCACUGCAGUUCAACAAACUCAACUGUAGUACCAAUGAGAUAAAAGCCAAGAGUGGAAGUGCGCGAUUUUGGAUCUCAACUUCGGCAAAAAGUGGCAUGUUUUGGCCGACCAGAUAAUGAAUCUCAGCACAUCCAACCAAAGAGUCCAGUUCGGUUCCAAAAGUUCAGGACAAACAAACAAGCCUUUAGUCACCUGAGGCGGCAUCGCGUUUUGGGCUAGGGAUCAAACCCCUUCUUCUCAUAUCAUUUUGCAGAUCCAAUACUUGAUCCACAUCUCCCAACUUCUGAUACUUGCUUAUCAAACAAUUAUAAACUGCUUCAUCAGGAAGAACACCAUUGUUUAUCAUUUGUUCUAGCAUUUCCCUUGCUUCUUGCAUCUUAUCACAAUUACAUAAUCCCCAUACAAGAGAAGUAUAAGUAAACAAAUCAAGCUGCAAGCCAUUCUCCACCAUUUUGUCCUUAAGUAUAAAGGCAUCCUGGAGAUUACCCUGCUUCAAAUACCCAUCCAUCAAAGAUGUAUAUGAAACUUUGUCUGGAGACAUCCCUUUCAAAACCAUUUCUUCGAACAGUUCUAAGGCUUGUUGCAAAGAACCACUUUUGCAAAGGCCAUCAAUGAGGGCGGUGUAAGCCAAUACAUUGGGUUGAAGACCAACUUCUCUCAUUUUCUCAAAGUGAUACUUUGCUUCGUUAACGGACCCUUGCUUACAUAACCCAUCAACUAGUGCACAAUAAGUAACAACAGUGGGAAAAAAGCCAGAAUCCUGCAUCUCGUGAAACAAUACAAGAGCUUCCGAGGCUUUCCCCACUUUAAAGCAAGCAUCCAUCACAGUAGUAUAGAUUACUUGAUUAGGUCUUAUGCCACAUUCAUCCAUCUCAUUGAGCAAAACCUUAGCUUCAUCAAUCUUUCCCUCGUUACAAAGACCCCAAAUCAGGGUUCCAUAAAGCGAGACAUCUGGUUUCAUUCCUUUACUCUUUAAUUCGUCAAGUAGGCUCAUCGCCCUCUCUGUGUUCCUAUAUGUGAAAUGCCCAUGAAUAAGAGCAGUGUAUAUUAACAAGUUGGCCGUGACCCCAACUCUCUCCAUCGCCCUAAAGAUCUCCUCAGCUUCCAUAACCUUCCCUUCUUUACACAACCCAUCAACUAAAGCAGUGUAAGUUACAAUGUUCAACUCCACUCCCUGCUGAACCAUUUCAUCGAGCAGAAGAAGGGCAUCCUUAACAUUUCCAGCCUUGCAGUUACCAUCAACUAAAGAAGUAUAAGUGAACUCAUUAGGCGUUAAGCCUCUCACCUUCAUGUGCACGAAGAAGUUCAUAGCCUCAUGCAUCAUCCCUUCCUUGCAGAAGGCGUCAAUUAAAGUACUAAAAGUGACCACAUUAGGCUUCACAUAAUUCCUUUUCAUCUCAUUAACGUAACCAAAUGCUUUCUGUAUAUUCAGGCAUUUACACAAACAGUUGAUAAGCGCGUUAUAAGUUACAACAUCCGGCUUAAUUCCGACCUCUCUCAUCUCACCCAUAAGCCGCUCUGCCUCUUCCAUCUCUCCACACUUCCCAUUUCCAUCAACCAGAGAAUUAUAUGUGACCAAAUCCGGAGAACAACCCAUCUCCUUCAUCUUCGAGAACACGCUAUUCGCAGCCACCAAAUCCCCCUCUUUACACAAGAAAUCGAUCAUGAUAUUGAAGGUGAAUACCGUCAGAGCCAUGUUCGACCCUAUUAUAUCAUCAAAAAACCUUUUUGACAGCUCCUUUCGCUGCGACUUUGCAAGCUUCUCCAGCAAAUUGUUGCAGGAUCGCAACUUGGGAAAAAUCCUGAACGAUCUCAUCCUGUAGAACGAUUCCAUCGCCUCCUCGAGAAAGCCUAGGUCGGUUAGAACGCUGAAGAAUGCGUCGAAGACGCCGUGCCCGGGGUUUUGCGACAACCUAGCGGUGGCGACGAGGACUCCGAUGAGAUUAUCGAAAACGGGGGACGACCGGGUGGAGAGGACGAGGUCGCGGAGGAUCUGGGUGGCCUGGGAGUACAUGCGGCCGCGGAAGAGGACGUGGGCGGCGACGCAGCGGGUCUCGGCGGUGUGGCGGAAGCGCGGCUGGGACGCGGCCCAGGCGAAGAGGCGGAACGCGGCGGCGGGGUCACCGCGGAGGGCCGAGAGGGCGCGGGCGAGGCGGAGCGGGGCCAACGACGACGCCGUGAGGAGGAGGGCCGCGGCGAGGCGGGGGUCCGACCACCGCCCCUCGGCUGCGAGCUUGGAGAUGAGGUUGGGGUCAGGGUCAGGGUCAGGGUCGGGGGCGGCGGAGGAGAGGGCGGAGCUAGGGUUCCGGCGAGAUAAUGCGGCGGCGAAAGCGGAGGAGGAGGAGGAGGAGGAGGAGAGGAGGAGGCGACGAAGGGGGAUGCGGAGACCGUGGGUGAGGAUAAGCAUCCUUUGACCCCCCCACCCCUCCGCCAUUAGGAGCCGGAGCUUAUAGGCGCCAUUUUUUUUGUUAAGUUGGGAAGAGGAGGAGGAGGAGCCUCUCCUCUUCUUCCAUUGAAGUGUGUUUGGGAAGAGCUUGUGAGCUCUUGAGAGGGGGGGUUUAUGAAUGUUCUCUUUUCGGUGGUAGGGUUUUAUUUUUUUGCUAAAUUACAAAAAUUCUUUCCACAUUUUUGUUGGAGUUGAAUGUCUCAAUUAUCCUCCCCCACUAAAAAUUGCAUUAAUUUCAACGUUCCUUUUAUUUUUAGAAUUUUACUGGAUUACUAUCGAUAAUAAAUGGCUAGACUUACUAUCAAUUUACUUUUGAUUAUACAGCAUCCAAAUCGACGAUUGACACUAUUCAACAUGAUCUAAACCAUUCACAAUAACUAGAAAUCAAAUUUCAUACUUUCUGACAUCAAUAACUAAAUGAUCAAAAAGUCAUAAAUUUUGUAAUUUUAAUAAUCAAUAUAGUAUAUUUACUCAUUUGACGGUAUAGAAGAGAUUAAUACGUUGAAUUUUUGUUAGAAAGUUUUUAAAACUAUUUUAAAUAAGAUCUUCACUCGAGAUCUUACAUACAACAAUCAUAUCAUUACUUUUUGGAGGAUAUUCGUUUAAAGAAAUAAUAUUUAACAGAAUACGAAAUUUGAUUUCUAGAUAGUUUAAAUAGUGUAGAUUAUGUUCAACAGUACUGGUCGUCGAUUUGAAAGUUCUAUCAUCGAUUUGAAAGUUCUAUCAUCGAAAAUAAAUCGUUAAUAUACUGAGCUGUUUACUACCAAUAGUAGCGGGGCAAAACUCUUAUUUCUAACUCAAAUAAAUUCAAAGUUUAGAUAAUUAUUAUUUUUGGCUUUAAACUUUAGCCUAUGUUAACUCAUUUUUGUGAAGUUUCGCAACCAAAAUCAAUAAUUAUACUUUAAUUUUAGGCUUAUUUGACACAAUGAUCUAUCUACCUACAUCAUGUUAAUUGUGGACCAGCUAGUGAUCUACAUUUGUACGGUUCAGAUUCAACUUUUUUAAGCAUCAUGCAUUGUUGAAAAAAGCCUUUGUGCUCCCUUGUACGACCCACAGAAUAUGCCACCAUCCAUCUCCAUAACUCCAUCGCAGCAUUUUGCUCCAUCAUGAUGUCAUUAGAGCUCUUAAAUACUUAAUCCUCUUUUCUAUUGCCAUGAUCGUUAUCAUCAUGGUAUCAACAUAUAUCUCUGCCACAAUUGUAAUCGGGAACAUCUCAAUAAUUUCACAUCAGAUGAAAAAAAAAAGUUCUUAUUAAAAAUAAAUAGAUCCCGCUAUCUAAUAAUAAUAAUAAUUGGAUUUAAAGAUGUCCUAAUGGUUUGGAUUUAAAGAGUUAUUACUAUUUAGUGGAUUUGGUCGUUUUAUUUGGGUCAGAGCUGGUUUGUUAGCUGAAAAUGUGAGGCGGGCCUCACAUCGCUUGGUGGUAUUGGGCUGACGAGGACGUCAAGGCUUGAGACCUCACAUCGCCUGAUGAGUUUGAUAAUCUUAAGCUAUGUGUGUGAUUGGGCUGACGAGAGCGUCAGAGCGUGACACUAUAUUGUCCGGUGAACUUGGUGAUUUUGAGCUAUAUGUGUCACGCCCCGGGACCGAUGCCAAUUUGGCCCGACCCGAGCACGUCAAACAGACGCCGAACGGACAGAGUUUCCCCUAUCCGCCCAAGGCUCAUCACACGUACCUUUUCAUCAAUAGAGAAAAGCACUAGCAGAAACAUACAUAAACGGCUUACACGAGGGUAAGCAAUAGCCAUAAGUGAAAGAAAGAAAAACUAAACAUACACAAGUAACAUGAUUCAUUUUAGAUCAUCUACAUUGCAUUCGUCUUUUACACUUAAGAUUCUUACAUUCAUCACAUGAUUUCUUUCUUACAUCACAUUUACCUCAAAAUGAGCUUUACAUUCUUUUCUUUACAUCACUAAUCAUCAAAUACAAAAGAUGAUAAAAGGGUGUCUACUAACAAAAUGUAUCCCAACUCUGGUGGCCUCUGACUAAGGCGCGAUACCUUUACCUCGGUCGCUUGCCGGCUCGCUCGGUCCCGGCUCUGUGGAAAUAGUGGGGUGAGACUACUACAACAAAGUUCCCAGUGGGUUCGGCCUUCAACAUCACCUGACUUUCCACUAGGACUAACUCGCAUAAUAGAAAGGAUAAGCUGAAAUAUGGUACCAUCUAUAACAUGAUUCUAAUAUGCCUGAACAAACACAAGAUAUCUCAAAAUUAAUCAGAUGCAGAUGUAUGGCAUGUUCUUUGGUUCUUUUCACUUUACUCUUUGUUCUUAUUCUUUAUUACUUUGCUCUUUAAAUCAUUAAGGCUAACGCCCGGGGUAUUCGCCACAUAACCUUGCCUGAACAUUAAAGUCCAUCAUCGCAGUAUCUCACCACUAGACGUCCGUUUACGGGCUACUCCAACUCCGGAUGCAUAACUCCGGAGCGCAAUCGACCGAGGGAGCGACACCGCCUCGCAUGCACGGAACUCAAAACAGCAAGUAUGCAUCAUAUCGCUUAAACUGCUAAUAGAUUAAUAGUUCCAAUCCUUUGACUUUACACACUAGCUCUAGCCGUUCUUUAACACACUUAUUAUGUGGCAAAACUGCAUGCAAAUCACAUCUUUACAUUUUAUUACUCUCUUGCUAACUCUAGCAAUUCAUUGUUACUUUUGCAUUUCUUUUACUUUAACUUUACACGUGUUUAAACCUUCUUCAUUCCUCUAAAUUCACUUUAGUUCUUUACAUCACACUAAACUCUAGUGUUCAUUUCACAUUAGGCUUUAAUCGAAUGCCACCGAUCUAUUCAUUGUGUCCACUCCUGUGUCUUUUUGCUCCACUUGGGUCUCACAUUAACUCCAUGCACACAAUCUAAGGGUGUUUAACAUGUAUUAGGUUCUCAAUCCAUCUCAUUGCUAAGUUGUGGCCUCACGAAUCAUGAAUCAUUCACAUUUCAUCAUUACCUAUACCACUAAAAUGGCAUGCAACAAUAUAUAGAAACAUAUGCUCAAAGAAUGACACAUUUAGGCAUAGACGAGAAUUCAAUGAGUUUGAAAAUGCACCACCACUUGUAGUCCUCUUUAGGUGCCCGAUGAUUUUCUUAGGAUUUCUAGAGCCUCGAUUCUUUACCUGCGGCAGAAACGAACGCCUUUAUUAGGCCAUUUGCCCAUAACUUUUCAAUACACUUUUUCGAAAUCUAUUCCGAGCCGGCACCAACAGCGUCGGAUAAUACCCCCAAUUAGGUUUUAGAGGAUCAAAUUGCACUUAGAAACCUUCAUGAGCAAAAGCCUCCAAAUUUGGGGCCCUACGCUCCAAAUCACAUAUCAAACCUAGGUUUGAUCUGCAUUGGGAACAAAAGUAGCUUCAUCACACUCUAAUUUAUCUAUCUAGAACCCAUUCCUUGAGGCUUUCCAAAACCCCUAGUUUGGAUUUGCACCAUUAAGAGGUGGGUUGAAUCACUUGACGCUCACCAUGGAUUGGAUCUCUAAAGAAGCAAAAGAAAAGCUUCAAACUCUUCAAAUUCCCAUAAAACGCAUUUCUAGUAAUUCAAAACUCUUCUUCUAGGGUUUUUCUACAAUAAGUCAACAGCUUACCUUUUUUUUUUUUUUUGUAAGCUUUCCUUUCUGCCCCCUACGAGAGAGGGAAGAAGAUGACAGCUUCCUUGUAGGCCCUUGAUCUUCUUCUCAAACUUUCUGCUCUUUCUUUUCCUUCUUUUCUUUUCCAUUUCUCCAUUCUUCUCCUUUUGUCCUUCUAGAGAGAUGAGAGGGAGAGAAAGAGAGUGUGAGAGGGUGAGGGAAUUGAGAGAGGAAAGGCUUUCUCUCCCCACUAAACCCAUUGGUUCAAAAUGCUAGAUAAACCCAUCAAGCUUUCAUCUCUGCCACAUGCCUGACUGGCAGAUUUCGCCAUGGGGCGGGACCGGUCUCCCCGACUAGGGACGCGUCCUCCGAAGCCUCAUCCCAGCGCAGCCAGAGGGCCUGCGCUGCGAUGCAUCCGUCUCUCCUUGUGGGACGGUCUCUGGGGACGUCUUCUCAUGGCAGAAAAGACCAAAAAAAAGACGUUCCCGAAGCUUUCCUUCCAAGGACUAAGCCGCGUUUUUCGCUGUCUCAUCCCUGCACAGCGUCUCCGGGACCGGCUCUCUCCCACCCAGGGACCGUCACGAGAGCUUGAAAAUCUGCAGUUUUGCAGAAUUAAACUCUCUAGCCUCCGAAAAACAGUUCUUAACUACUUUUGAAUCAUUAACACCCUCGGACUUUCGCGAAGUGUACCGUCGCUCGCACUUUGGUCAUUUGACUAAAGUUCGAAUAUUUAUUCCAGAAUUUUCGGUAUAUUUACAAUGCUCCACCCCCUUAAAAAUUAAUUUCGUCCGCGAAUUACGCAUACCUAGCUGCGUCGAUUCAAAUAAGCGGAUACUCUCUCCGCAGUUUUCCCUUCGAGUUCCCAAAGUGCUUCUCCGCGCGACCUAUGGUUGCUUCCACCUGGACUUUCCACAUAAAGGGAUCUUGCGACUUCGCAUUUCUUAAACUUCUCGAUCGAGACUGCAACGGGGUACUCUUCAUAGACAUUCUUCACCGUAGCUCCACGGGCUCAAUAUCAUACAUUGUCGGGUUUCGAUAUACUUUCGAAGAUUAGACACAUGAAACCACAUUUGUGGACUCCCCGAGUCUCGGUGGAGAAUGCGACUUAUACCCACCGCACCACACGCUCCAAUAUCUCAAACGGUCCACAUAACGGGGACUUAGCUUCCACGGACAAGCCCAAAUCGUUUAACUCCAUCGCAUCCGAUGCUUCAAGAAUACACGGUCCGUCCACCGCGAACUCCAAGUCCUUUCUUUCGCUUGUCGCAUAACUCUUUUGCCGAGACUGCGCAAUCGCCAACCUUGACUAGGCAAGGCGAACUUUCUCAUCCGCCUCCGCACUCACAUCAGGGCAAGAGCCGCUCUCUCACCCACGUCGCUCCCAAUGGAUAGAGAACGACAUUUAUCCAUAUAGUGCCUCACAAGCCGACACAUUGCUAUGCCUCUUGGUAGCUAUUAUUGUAGGCGAACUCCGCUAUUGGCAAGAAAUCAGCCAUCCUUCGCUUAUAUAAUCUAGCACACAUACGCUCUGAAGCAAAUCCUCAAGAAUUUUAUUUUGUUAUGUCCGCUCACGAUUGUCCAUCACUCUGGGAUCGAACGCCGUGCUAAAAUCGGAGCGUCGUGCCUAGCGCGUCUUGCAAAUUCUCCAAAAGCGGGAUGUGAACCUGGGUCGCGAUCCGACCCAUCGAACUGGACCCGUCCAUGCAAGUCUCACAACCUCGUCGAGAAUAAACUUGCGCUAACAGCUUGUCUCCCCCCACUGUAGUAUGUAUUCGCAAGAAGUGUGGCCAACUUUGUCAAUCGAUGCCACUUAUUCACCCAUUAUCGCAUCGUGUCCGCCCUUGCGAUCGCUAGUUGAUUCAACAUUUUCAGCAAAGUUUAUUUCUAAAUGAAAAAACAAAUAAGUAACAUGCUACUAAUCUCUCUAAAAAAAAAAAAAAAAAAAAGCAUACAUUCAUGAAAACUAAAUUGUGGCGCAAAUAUAAAGGACUACUGGAUCCUUACAAUAAUUUAUUGAGCUUAAGCAUUUUGGAUCGGUCUAAUAAGUUAAUAUUACUACGGCGAUUGAAUCAUCACAUCUAUUCUUAUAAUCUAUUUUCUAUUAUUUAACUACAUUAAAGGAGGGUUUGGGGGGACUUAGAGUUGACAUUCGUGUCCCCCCAAUCCUCCUCUUCUCUCUGCCUUCUACAUACAAGAACACACACACACACACCACACACAUAUAUAAUAAUAUAAUAUAUAUAUAAAUACAAAAUUUAAAUUUGAUAAUUUAUUAAUUUUAAAGUUUAAAAUUUAAAUUUAAUAUUUUAUUUAAAUUAUACAAAUUAUUUCCAAAUUUAAAACUUUCAUAAUUUAAAAUUUUAAAUUAUUUUUAUAAUAACUUUUUUAUUAAUUAAUAAUUAGAUUAUAAAACUAUAUAAAAUAUAAUAAAAAAUAUAAUAUUAUUAUAAAAAUAAUUUUAUAUCCGCAGGCAUCGUGCAGGUAAUUCACUAGUGUACAUUAAAGGAGGGUUGGGAGGCCCAGAGAGUGACACGUGUCACCCUCAAACCCUCUCUUACUCUCUUUCCCAAUAAUAUAUAAUAUAUAUAUAUUAUAAUUAUAUAUAUAUAUAUUAUAUUAUAUUAUAUAUAUAUAUAUAUAUACUAUAUAUAUAUAUUAAUUUAUAUUUUGAUAUCAAAAUUUAAAAUUUUGAUAUUUUAAUUUUAAAGUUUUAAAUUUUAUAUUUAUAUUUUAAAUUCUAAAUUUAAAUUUAACUUAUAAUAUAUUAUUCUAAUUUUGUAACUUCAAAUUUUAAAAAAUUUUAAAAUCUCUAAACUUUAAUAAAUUAUAAAAUUAAAUUUUAUUAAUAAUACGGGUAAUAAAUCGGAUAAUAAAAUUUAACAUUAUUAGAUUUAAUUUAAAUCAUUAAAAUAUCGUUGUAUAAAAUAAUAAUUUAAGUUUCUUCAAAACCUAAAAAUUUAAAUCUCUAAACAUAUGAAAUAAUUAAUUUAUUAAUAAUAUCAUAAUAAAUCGAUAACUAAAAUUUAACAUGAUAAGAUUUAAUUUAAAUCACUUAAAAUAUCGUUGUAUAAAAAAUACAUAAUUAAAUUUUAAGUGAAAAAUUUUAAAAUAUAGUUAAAUGUAUAUAUAUAUUAAUAUAAUUAAUUUUAUAUUCCUACAAAUUUACUUCCCUUCUAUCUAUUGAUUUUUUAAAAAUAUUUUGAUAAAUUUAUCUCAAAUACUUCUCAUAUAAAUUUUUAUAAAAUAAAGUGAUGUAUAAAUUUAUUUGGGCAUAUAUCAAUUUUAAGAUUUAACUAUUAAAUUAUUUUUAUAUAAUUUUUAUUUAAUUAAUAAUUUGACUAUAAAACUAUAUAAAAAUAUUAAAAAAAUAAAAUUUAUUAUAAAAAUAUUUUAGAUCUGCAGCAUCGCGCGGGUAUUUCACUAGUUGUCAUUAUUGUCAUGAUCGUUUUCUUUGCGAAAGCAAUUUGCUAAAGCAUAUACUGAUUUGGAUCAGGUGCAUCGCAACAAUAUUUAGAGUUUAGUAAAUAUUUACUAUGUUUGAACUUCACCAAACCUAAAUAUUAGAUAAUAUGUUGUAUCCAAAACUUAGUUUGAAAGAAGCUGUUCAAAUAUGGAUGUGGUUUGAACAAAUAAUAAUCUAAGUUUCAACAAAAUGUUGAAUAUAUUUUUAAAUGCAAAUUCAUGUAUUUAAAAUCAAAAUAUUUUAAUCUCAUCGGUACUUCCUAAGUCUAUCUAAACUCUUUCCAAAUGAAAAAGUUAACAUAAUAUAAUUUAACAGUGUUACUCAUUGUGAGAUUAGGUCAUUGAACUAUUUACUAAAAAUUGCCUUUCUUGAGCAUAACAUAAUUGUUAUUUUAAACAGGAAAUUUUGUUUGGACUUGUUUUUAAGACCAGAGUUUUAGUCUGUAUCAAGUUAUUUUCACUUAAAUUAGUAUAGUCAAUUGAGUUGGAUUAUAUAUUACCAUCUCUAAAAUAUUAAUUUUUAUUGGCUAAAAUACAUAAAACCCCCUGUCAAAAUUCGAUUUUUCACUUUACCCCCCUGUCAUUUAAACACCUACACUUUGCCCCCUUGUAAAAUAAAAAAUAUUCACUUCACCCCUUACCGUUAGUAAUCCAUUAGGGUUCCGUUUAUAAAAAUUAUUAUAUAUUUUUUUAUGCCAAAAAUGCUCACAGUCUUCUCUCGUGUGAAUAUGACGAGGGGCAAAAUGGUGAGGGGCAAAAUGGUCAUUUUGUCAUCACAGUUCACACCGUAACCCCCUGUGAAUAUUUUUUAUUUUACAAGGAGGCAAAGUAUAGGCUUUUAAAUGACAGGGGGGAGAAGUGAAAAAUCGAGUUUUGACAGAAAGGAUUUUCUAUAAUUUAGCCUUUUUUAUUUAUGGUCAAACCUCUCCCUCAUGACUGUCCCAUAUCAGCCUCAAUCUAGGACAAAAAUUUUAUAGACAUAAUCUCCAAACAAGAUUGUUUGGGGAUUGCCUAGAUAGGCACCAUAGAGAGAGUGGUGCCCAUCUCACCCGUCAGUAAAAAUAUUUUUUAAUUUAAUUUUAACUUAGCAAAUAUAAUAUUUUUAUUGGGCGGUUGGGAUGGGCGCCACUAUCCAUGUGGCGUCCAUCGAAACAAUCUCCAAAUAAUUUUGUUUGAAAACUAUGGCAAUAAAGCAUUUGCACACAUGGAGUCGAGUCUUUUAGCACUAACUCGAUUAAAUUGUCAAAAAGAAAUAGACUAAGAAAACAAUAAUAAAAUUAUUAUGAAUGGAGACUUAACCUCUUCUAUUGUUAGUUCUUUAGCAAACAACACUAUAUACUUAUAUAGACUACGAACGGGUGCAUGAUGAAGUAAUACUUUAUAAACAGGUGUUUCGUGAAAUGCUCUCUCAAUUGUGACUUUUCAUUUGAUCAGAAGUACUAAUUAGUUAUAUAAGUCAAAUUCAAUAAAUGUAAGAAAUAAUUUCAACGGACAUAUACUCGAAGAGGCACACUAUAAAGAUGUGUCCUUUCAUAUCUUAUUCUUUCACUAAAAAUUACAUCUUUUUACAUUCAUUCUCUAAAACUCUUUGAUCAAAAUUGCAUCUACUUACUAAGGAUUGUAUCCGUUCACUAAAACUUAAAGAACAAAAUACAUUAUUUUAAAAAUUUUCUUAGGACCCCUCAAUCUCUUUAUGGCCAUAGUUUUCAAACAAGAUUAUUUGGGGAUUGUUCCGAUGGACGCCACGUCGCCACAUAGCGAGUGGCGCCCAUCCCAACCGUCCAAUAAAAAUAUUAUUUUUGCUAGAUUUAAAUUAAAUUAAAAAAUAUUUUUACUGGGCAGUUGAGAUGGGCACUUCUCGCCAUAUAGUGCCUAUCCGGACUAUUCCCAAACAAUCUUGUUUGGGGACUAUGCUCAUAAAAUUUUUGUCCGUCAUCAUCGAAAGCUUAUCGGGUCUAUAAAGCUCUACCUUCGGGCCAUUCCCUUCACUACUGUGUUCACACAACUUAUCAUGUCUUGUCUUUUGUAGUGCACUAUAUAUCAUUCAGGAGGGAGAUGAGUUGUUCGAAGUUUUGAACUAGUGAGGUUGGUCGUCGACGAUUUCACCGACGAAGGCUUGAACUCCGGCGAAUGAGAUAGGAGUGCAAAGAUGAAAACUUUUUGUCACUUAGGCUACAUGCUCUUCGUUUCUCCGUUAAACGGUAUAUAUAUUUUUGGGGCAAUUGCUUAUAUAUUUCUGAAAAGUUCCCGACUUUUCGAUUUACCUCUUUUAGAAGGCUAAUAUUGAAAAUACCCUUUCUAUGUUCCAACCUAUUUCUAAUAUACUCCUAAAGUUAAAAUCUGUUAAGUAACUCUGUUAGUUUUGUAAAAUUACUAUUUUGUCCUUUCAAAUAUACCCUUCCACCAUCACUUUCUUUCUUAUUUGCCCUUAAAGUCAGGGGUAUAAAAAGUAUUUGACUUUUGGUCUUUUUCAAUAUACUCCUCUACCGUCACCAACCUUUCUUAUUUGCUCUUAAGUUAAGGACAAAAUUGGCAUUUUAAUUUUUUUUAACUGUGGUAGAUAUUUAACUCACGUUUAACCGAGGUUAACUUAACAGGAGAUAACUGCGGGGGUAUUUUGUAAUAACAGUGGAACAUAUGAGGGGUAUUUUAGAAAGAAAAAAAAAUAGAAAUAAAUCGAAUAUUUCCAAACGUAUGAGGGGUAUAUAGGCAAUUAUUAUUAUUAUUAUUAUUAUUAUUAUUAUUUUUACGCCACUACCAUAGUGCCACGUGGAGCAUUUUUCAAAACGUAAAGUUAGUGUAUAAAAAAAAACCAUUGGUAUAAUAUUAUUGUUUUCUUAUAAUAUAGUUAAUUACUUUGCUUCAUUUAUUUAUUUUUAGAAGUAACUUUACUUAGAAAUAUAAAGUAAUUAAGUUUCAAAUGAGAAUUUGAAUGUCAAUUAUCAAGUCUUAAACAAUUUUGUUAGGUACGGUCGGUAAGUAUGAUUUUUUGACAUGCACUAAGAUCAUAUUGGCGCCAAAUUAAAGUUUAUUAUUAUUAUUAUGCUAAAAUACAAAAAACCUCACUUCUUGUUUUUUUUUUAGUUUUCCACCGUGACUUUAAAAACUCUACAUCUUAUCCCCUUAAAAUUUUAAAAAUAUUUCAAAAAUUAUGGCGUUAAAAUAGCAAAAUAACCAAAUUAUCCUUAUUGUGUAAUUUUUUUUUUUAAUAUAUGUUUGCUAUUUUUAAAAAUAUUUUCGGUGUAAAUUAUAAAAAAUAGUCAAAAUAAUGACAAAAUCAUGAUGAAUGAGGGCUAAAUGUAUCCAUGUAAAAUUUUGAGAGGGUAAAAUAUAAUUUUUUAAAGGGUAAACUUCAAAUACCACCUGUUGUUUCACACUUUCUCAUUUUAAUACCCUAUGGUUUAAAGUGUAUCAAGUUAGCUCCUGUGGUUUCGCACUUUCUCACUUUAAUAUCCUGUGGUUUAAAGUGUAUCAAAUUAGUACCCUAUGCUUUCAUUUUUUUCUUUUAUUAUCCAUUUCGCUAAUUUUUUUCGUUAAACUAGUGACAAAGUUAAAACUAAAGGGUACUAAAGUAAUUAUUCGAUAAACCUAGUUAGGGUAUCUGAAGUUUUUUGUAUAUAAUUUAGCGAAAUAUUACUGAAGGAAAAAAAAAUAGUAAUAAAGUUAAAACUAAAGGGUACUAAAGUAAAUAUUAGAUAAACCUAGAUAGAGUAUCCGAAGAUUUUUGUAUAUAAUUUAACGAAAUAUUUACAGAGGAGCCGAUGAAUAAAAAAAAAUGAAACCAAAUGGUACUAAAUUAAUACACUUUAAACUAUAGAGUACUAAAGUGAGAAAGCGCGAAACCACAUGGUGCUAAAUUGAUACACUUUAAACUAUAUAGUACUAAAGUAAAAAAGUGCGAAGCUACAGCUAUUUGAAGUUUUUUUUUUUUUUUUCAAGAUAAAUAUUUUUUUAAAAAAUUGUGUAUUUUAGCCUUAUUAUUAUUAUUAUUAUAUUAUUAUUAUUAUUAUUAUUAUUAUUAUUAUUAUUUUAAUGAGGAAAGCUAUAUCCAGUACUGACGCAACGGUUGGUGCCUUAGCCCACGUGUCCUCUCCCCCCCCCUCCUCUUCUCUCUCUUCGCCUCCCACGCCUUGUACUAAUUACUAAAAUGUGAAAUCUCCCCAUCUUUCCCUUCAUUUUCGUCGCCAUGGAUUCCCCUCACCAGCUCCUCGACUCCCUCACCGCCCACAUCGCCCUCUACCACUCCUCCUCCUCCUCCCCUUCUAACCCUAACCCUAACCCUAACCCUAGCCCUAACCCUAAUCCCCGCUCCGCCAUCCUCCGGUGGUUCUCCUCCCUCCCCGUCUGCCACCGCCAAUGCGCCCUCACCGUCGUCGACCCCGACUUCGUCGUCGUCCUCCUCCAGAUGCUCUCCCGCCUCCGCCGCCUCGGCCAUGGCUUCUUCUUCCUCCUCCCCGACCUCCCCUCCGCCUCCUCCUCCUCCUCCUCCUCCUCCUCCUCCCUCCCCUCCCUCUGCUUCCGCCGCUCCCGCGGCCUCCUCGCCCGCGCCGCCGCCGCCGACGCCGCCGAGCUCGGCCUCGCGCGGUCCCUCCUCCUCUUCUCCUCCGGCGAGGGCGACGGCGGCGAUCGCACCGCCGUGCAUUGCCCCCUCGAUGCCCUAACCGUCUCCGAGGACUUCGUCUCUGACGUGGAUCGGUUCGUCGAGGUCAUGGACGGGAUCUCCGGGGGGGGUUUCCUCAGAGGGGAGGAGAGUGGGGUGGGAGCCGCCGCAUGGCCGGAGUUGGCGUGGCUGAAGAACAAGGGCUACUACAGCUUGGAAGCUUUUGUGGCGAAUAGGUUGGAGGUGGCGCUGCGGUUGGUGUGGCUCAGCGGCCAUGGAGGGAAGAAGCCAAAGGGAGGUAAAGCCGCGAAGGAGAAGGCGGGGACGGUUGGCGUGGCGGCCAAUGCGUUUUGGAGGAAGAAAGGCUGUUUGGAUUGGUGGCUAGGGUUGGAUUGUGGGCACAGGAAGAAGAUCUAUGAUGCCUUUUUAGGAAAGGCCACGAAAUCCCUGGUAAUUCUUUUACUACAUUGCAUCAUUCAUAUGGGCUUUGAUGGCAUGCCUAUUUCACGAAAGUGGAGGGGGUUAAAUUUGUUUUCAGCCAUAAAUGUCCACUUCCAUUGUUUAGUUUGCUGUAAAUUAAAUUCUCCCAUAACUCUAUUUUCUACUUUUCCCAAAAUGCUGGAAUUGGCUUCACCCUAGAUGGUUGCAAAUUAGGGAGAGAAAGAGAUAGGAAACAUAAUAAAAAAAUUAACUGUUGUGACUUUUUCUCACCCUCUCUUCUGCUAAUGUGAAAAUUUUCAGUAAAACAAACAAAAAGUGGGAUAACUAUAGUUCCUAAGCCAUUAACUUCCUAUCAAACAAACAAUUGUGGAAAAAUAAUUUUCAACUGAACUUAAGUUCAACUGAAAGUCAUUAUCAACCUGAAAUCAGUUAUUGACAAACAAAAAAAAAAAAAGAAACAUGCCUGAUCAUGACUGAACUUUUUGAAGUUAUUAGAUUGUAAAUGAAUAAUUUUAGGGAAGAGUUUGUAAGUGCCUUUCCUGAAAAGACAUCAAAGUUACAGGCAAACAAAAUGAUCGAACUUUUUUAAGUUAUUAGAUUAGAAAUGCAUAGUAUUGUAGGUAAGAGUUUGUAAAUUGUAAGAGCCUUUCCUGAAAAGGUAUCAAAUAUCAUAUGGUUCUAAGAGUUCUCAACCCUCAAACUAAUGUAGCUAUGUUGAGCAGAUUUUAUAUUUUAUAACUAAUUAAUUCAUAAUUCAUCGUUCUUUGCAUUUUGUUUGAAAUUUUGUACUUCUCUAUGUUUGGAUGUAGAUUAGAACACCGCUGCAAAUAAUGCAAAAAACCCUCUAGUUUUUUUAAAAAAUUAUGUAGUCCUUAAUGUGCCUAAAUUUUUCUACGCCAGGUCCUCAUUGGAAGUCGAAGUGAAAUCGAUCUUUAAAGAAACAAUUAGAGAGUAGCCCAGCGUUUGGUACUGUUUAUUCUUUACGCGAUGUUGUGAGUUAAAUUCCUGGCAUUUUUUUUUUACCUUUAUUUCCGAUAGAAGAUUGCUCCUUAAUAGUUGUCUUUAUGCAUUAGAAGAUAAAGGGGUCUUUUCUCUCUUUAUCUCUGUCUUUUUUUCGAUGGGUAGAAAAAGUCCUAUUUGGUUGUUGGAGCAAGUUAUUUGAUGAUAGCUUGUUGGAUAUGGAGACUUCUCUUUUCCCUUUUUUUUUGGGGGUGGAUUUUUGGUUUUGNUGUUUACAAUGUAGGAGUUUGAUUUUUAGCUAUUGUGGUUGUUCGGCUUUUAGCUAUCGUACUGUAUUAAAUAUCAAUUAUUCAAAAAUUUUAAAAUAGUAUGUUUCGCUUAUAAAAUGUUUUAUCAUAUUUGGAUAAAGAAAUAUCAGAAGGCCCACAUAAGGGCUUUCACACACCUUAUCACCUAUUCACUGAUCAAUUUUCGAGUUAAUAAAUUAUAAAUGCCAAACAAAUAUUCAUCUAUUUGCUUAUACUAAUUUUUCCACGACAAAUUACUUACCAAGCAAAUCUUUAGUUGGUAAUUCUUAUCCAUGUUAAAUUGUGCUGUUGACAUUGUAUUUCUUCAUAUGAUUAAUAAGGCAUAAAUAUUCUCAUACUGAAUUAAUGUUGGAUAAGAAUUUUUGAUUAAAUUUUUGAAUAAUAUAUUUUCGGCCCUUCUUGAGAUAAGAUCCCGCCCCAAGUCUAGUCUAUCCUUCUUCCCUAUCCUCCUGCAUUGCAUCGCACCACUGCCAUCUCCUCCCUGUCCUCAGCUAUUACUGUUACCCUUCUCCUCGUCAUUAUCAUUGUACCUCUCUUUGCUCUACUUCUACUCCCACCACUGCCUCUUUCUUCCUGUCCUCCAUCUCAUGUUUUAACCUUAGAUCCAAAAGCUAGUGACCAAUGAAAACAAAACAGAGAGAGAGCUUGUGCUGGCAAGAAAAGAGAGCAUCAGCCGCCGUGCAGUCUUCUUGAGGCCUUACCCACCCCUAGCAAGUUGUGGGUGAGCGUCUGCAUGGAUGGCAAAAAUGCACGUCGCUCUUUGACAGGCUUUGACAAUUUCACCGUUCCAUGUGUAGUUGUUAACAAUCCGCACCAUGUAAUGCGAAACUUGUUCCUUCUAGUUGCCACCUUUAGUGAGCUCGUGAACCUACAAUGAUUGAAAUCCAGCUGUUUUUAGAAUGCCCACCUUCUCCCAGUCAUACCGCCUCCUCCUCUGCCCGUUCCUUCUCCUUACUCUCGUCCUUUGCUAUGCUUAUCAACAUAAGAGGAGGAGAUUUAGUAUUUUUAUAUGUUGUUUUUGCUUUCUUUAACAUAUUUGUGAUGGCAUGUUGAUGGAACAAGAUAAUUGGCAAACUGAUAAAUGUCAAUUGAUUGAAGGAGGUAUUCAUUGAUUUCUAAAUAGUAAGCAUGUAAGCUGACAUUAUGUAGGGGAUUUCUUCCGUUUCAGCGCAUCAAAUAUUAGAGUUCCAUAAUUUAUGAAAGUCCUCUUAGUCAGUUGAGAAGCAAAUUUUAGCAAAAAUGAAAUGAUACCCAUGUUAUUUAUAGUUGAAAAAUAUUUUCUAGUCCAAUUAAUGCUUUGCUAGAUACUAUAUACAUAUGGAUGAGCACAUCGCUAAUAAAUCAUUUAAGAUUUAUAAUGUGUGUUCUCAAGCUUGAUAUCAGUUUCUAGCUUAUCUCUUUUCGUCUACACUUAGGGCAUAUAAUCAUACAUGUGUAAGAAAUAGUAGGCUAUCUACGCUUGGAAUUUUUUUCUUCUAAUGACUUCAAAUACACUAGAUCAUUACCAAUGGUGGCACGGGUUGUCAUUUCAAACAAUUUAACUUAGAUUUGAGAGGCGAAGAUUUGGGCUCAAAUCCACUUUAGUGUACAUUGGCCUUACUCUAUAUAUAUUAAUGUAUGUUCCAUUUCUGUGCAUCCAAUCUGACCACAAACACUGGGAAUUAUCAGGCAGGUGAAGUUACCAAGGGAUGUAACAAUUUUUUGAGAAAUGAAGUGUACUUUCAUAAUCCUGAAGCUGGAUCACUGAUAAGACAUGAUCCCACUGCAUCUUACAAAAAUUUAAAGCAGUCGUUCUUCAGAAGGAAUCGGGACAAUAACAUGGAUACCAUGAGCAUCAUAUCUUCUGCAAAACAGCUAACCUUGGCCAAAUUUUUGAACAGAUUGCAAGUGGUUCAGGAGAUUGCUCGCUUAAGAUGCAAUAACAACCAACUUGAAAGCAACACACUAUUUUUCACUACACUAGCAUCUGCUGGCACUUUAUCAGAUUAUGUACUCAUGAAACUGCGGGCACUUCUUAUGGCUGUAUCCAUAAGUUAUAAAAAUAUCGAACUAAUAGACGAUACAAACUCAGAGAUUCAUCCAGAUAAAAGUCUAGAGAAGUGUAACACUGGUUCUCGGAAAGGAAAGAAAAAGUGUCGUAAUUCAGGAAAACCAAAUGCCACUCUUAACCUGUCCAAGGUUGGUUUUGAGAUCUUCGACUUAAAUUAACUUAUGUUGCCUGCUUGUGCUUUUCUAAAGAUUAAUAAAUUGUCUUAUGGAUUAUUUCUCAGGAUCACGGAUGCGGAAGUAAAGAAGGGAGCCGCACCUCUGGGGUGCUGUCACCCCAAUGUAGUCUCUUAGCCGCAGACACACAGAUCAAAGCCACUAGCAGGCCCCUUAAUGGAAGUUCUAGAAAAGAGCUUGUAUCAAACAAAAAUGAAGAAAAGGUUGUAAGAUCUUGUAAUUCUUUUUGUUAUCUAUUAUUUCUUUUCUUUUUCUUUUGAAGAUAUAUUAUUUUCAUAAUUUGGAGCAUCUAUUGCCAUAUCAGGAGCAUGGCAAAGGGUUGGGUGAUUGCAAGGGUCAUUCCACUAAGAAGAAAAGCAAAAGAAAAGGAGCUAAAAUGAAAGCUUCUAAUUCAUCAGAAGUUCAAAUCCCCAUGUCUGGAAGCAUAAAGAAAGCAAUUCCCUCUAAUACUGCUGAUAGCAUAUUGGAAUCGUCUGAACUAACUGGACCUGUGUCUCUCAAGCUCUAUGCAAAUGAUUCAGAUGCAAUGAGUGAGCUAGGACCAGUUGACGUAGAUGAGAAACCAACAGGUACUAAGCUAAAUAAUGGCAUUCCUUCUUGCCCUUUGACUAGGGCAGAAUGUUGUAAUUGUUCAAGCCAAUUUAAUGGCCUUAGCAUGGUCCAGAGUGAUUUGCUAUAUGCUGCACCAUCUGAAGAGACCCCACAAGCAUCUCCAUGUUUUCCUUUCACGGAAGAUAAUAUUUGCAGCAAUCAACUGAUCAGAAACAAUGUUGGUUUAAGAAAUCUGGAAGAAAGAGUUUGUGAAAGUGGCUUAACUCACAAGGAAUGUGACCAUCACGGGACUUCAAUUGGAUGUGAGGGUAUGGACCUCUCUUUGCCUGCAGUUGCUCUUGAAGGUGGUGUAGUUAAUAAAGAACAACUGCUUCAAGGUCUUGUCAGGAAUAAUUGUUCAGUGAUUCAAAAUGAUGGUGGUGAAUGUUACAUCUAUGACCACAGAAACCCAAUGGGAGGAAAAUCGUAUGAGUGGCCUAGCAUAACUCCUCUUAAUUUUAUAUCAACUAAUGCCCAGCAUCUCCCAGCUGCAACAGAUAGAUUGCAUUUGGAUGUUGGCCAUGAAUGGCUCACUAAUCUUGAUCCUUCUUUCCUUCCUCCCAAGAAUCCAGUAAGAAACUCAUCAAAUGAAGGUGGUAGUCGAAUUUUACCAGCUUUACCAUUGCCCUUGAGUUCCGAUUGGCCUCCCAUGGUUAGAAGCUACAGUAGACCAAGUCAAAAUUUCACUCUAUGUUAUGAUUCCAUGCACAACCCAAGAAUGCAAUCUUCAGCAUGGGCAGGUGAUAUUUUUGACACACUUGAUUUAAAAAAUACAUCUGAGUUUGCUGACGAUUCUGAAAGUUAUUGGUAUUCUGAAGAAGAAAACGAAAACCAUGCAUUUUCUGGAAGGAACUAUAACCAAUAUUUUGGUGGUGGAGUAAUGUAUUGGAGUCCAGCUGAAUAUGUUGGGUCUGGCUUUUCUAGGCCACCAUCUCAUAGUUCAGACGAUAGUGCUUGGGCUUGGCAUGAAGCAGAUAUUACUCGAGCUAUUGACGACAUGGUCGGUGUGCCCGCACUAUCUUCUUCCUAUAAUACAAAUGAUGUUGCCUCACCACCUGCUACUUCAUUUUGCUCGCCAUUUGAACCUUCCAGACCUCCACAACAGUCUGUUGGUUAUAGUAUGGCAGGUAAUGAUAUUAAUGGCAAGGUGUUGAACUCCUCUUCUUCAAUUUCAGAUGGCCUAGAAGAAAAAGUCUCAAUAUCUGUGCACAAUUCAUCUAGUAGUGUUGAAGGAGCGAAAGGAGAUACACUUCCAUAUUCAAUGCUGCGGCCAAUAAUUGUUCCGAGUAUAUCAAGACGGGGAUCAAGAUCUGAAUUUAAGCUUACGCAUGAUCAUAGAAGUCCAUGUGUACCUUCUACUAGGAGGGAUAUUCCUCGUAUGAAGCGGCCUCCAUCCCCUGUUGUGCUGUGUGUUCCUCGAGUGCCUCGACCCCCUCCGCCUUCUCCUGUUGGCGAAUCUAGAAAGCGAGGCUUUCAAGUUGUUAGGUCUGGUAGUUCAAGCCCUAGGCAUUGGGGUGUGAGGACUUUAUGUUCUGAUGAAAAAAAGUCUGAUAGAACUCAAGUUUGUUUGGAUGGGCCUGAAGUUGUUUGGCCUUCUUGGGGAAACAAAGGGCUUCCUCCAGCUACGAUGGUGCCAUCUAUUCAGGGUCCUGUAUUGCAGGAUCACCUUAUCAAGAUUUCCCAGUUAGCUCGCGAUCAAGAACAUGUGAGCAGUAUUUCUUGACUUAGGGCCUGUUUGGUCCAGUUGGAGGUUUGGAGCUUUUGAAAAAGUGCUAUUUGAGCAGCUGUUCAAAGAAGCACUAAACCGCUGGUUUCCUCCCAACAUCUUCCUGCUGUAGCAGAAGCAGAAGCUUCAAAUUGGAGCUGCUGCAUUUGGGGCUCAGAAGUUCAUUUUAUCCAUGAGCAGAAAAGCAUCCUGACUUUUCAUUUGCUAAAUGCCUGGUUGUAUUACUUGGAGUAGAAAAGUUGUUCCAGAGACGGGACAGAAGCUCUUUUUCAUGUACUUGUUAAAUGCAUUCUGAUAUAUCAAAAAACUAAUGUUGCAGCCAGACAUUGCAUUACCUUUGCAACCCUCUGAUUUAUUGAACUGUCCAUCUCGAAAGGAAUGUCUCUCUUUGAUGCAAAGUCUUCUUCAUGAAGAAAUCGAUUAUUUUUGCAAGCAGGUAUGAUGCCUUUUAAGAUUUUAUUUAAAUUUUUACUGUAUAGUUUAUAAAGCAGUGGUAGUGCUUUAUGUUAUCCUGUAAAAAGAUCUGCUUCAUUCACUGUAUACAGAUAUAUAUUUCUCAUUGACAUAAAUUAGGCUAGGAGACUGCUAGAAGCAAACACGAGUUGAAUGCUGUAAAUGUUUUUAUGAAACAAAACACAUCAAGACAUUGGCUUUUUAAUAAGAUACAUGCUUCUUAACUGUCAUGCUUUCAAAUUUUACCAUUUUGCCUCAAAGGUAAUUGCUGGUUUGUCGUUAAUGGUAAAUCUAAGGUUGCUGCUGAGAAUCUGACGAGGAAACCAUAUAUUAAUUGGGCUAUCAAGAGGGUCGCGCGCUGUCUUCAGGUCCUUUGGCCUCGUUCUCGAACAAAUAUAUUUGGUUCUAAUGCGACUGGUUUAGCACUUCCAACUAGUGAUGUAGAUCUUGUGGUUUCUCUCCCUCCUGUUAGGAACUUGGUAAGAAUUAUAUGAAUAUUUCUUGUAUGCUUGUUCCUCAUUCUGAACAAAAUUCAUUGAUGGAGUUGUUUGUCAGGAACCUAUUAAAGAAGCUGGAAUUUUGGAAGGUCGAAAUGGUAUUAAGGAAACAUGCCUUCAGGUAAGUUGGCUUAUUGUUAGCUGGUAGUGCUACAAACUAUAUCAGUUAUUUGACUUCAUACAGUAGACAUUCUCUUGCAUGAAAGGAUUACCACAUGCAACAAUUGUAUAGGAUGUAUGAAGCAAAAUGUACGCUCCUUGUUUUUGUUGGUUGACUUUUGUACCUUAAAUAGAUGUUGCAUAUGUUCUAGUCAGGGUCGCAUAUUUUCAACUUUAGAUAUUCAAACUGACCCCCUAUGAUUCAAGGAAUAUCAGUUUGAACCAAGGAAUAUCAGUUUUACUCUUUUAUUGCAGGUGUCAUAAUCAUCUCAAUUCUGCUCAUUCUGUUAUAAUGUAGCUACAAGGAUUUCUCACUAUAGUUUUCUUUUAUUUUAAGAGAAAUUGAGCAGGAUUUUAGACACGCCCUUAGUGUGCCGCAUGAUAAAGGAUGUGACUGCAUGCUCAUAGUCAUUGAUAUAUUUGCCAUGGGAUACUUAUGUGCCAAUUGGCCAUCAACAUUCUACGUGUAAAGUGUAAGCCCUUCCAUGGUUGUCAUGAGCUAUAUUGAGGCCCUUUUAUAUACCAGCAGGCUUCAGCAUGUAGUACAGUCUGUGUGUGUCCCUUGUAUUACACGAUAAUCUUUGAUCAAAGCAUAACUCUCGACCCUCACAGUCAUCAUGUUCUUUCUGUUCUGACCAACUUGACAAUCCUUGAUCAGAAUAUGAGACUCCACCUACUUGACAGAACAUCAGACCCCCAUACUCAUCACGUUCUUUCUGUUCUGACCAACUUGAAAACCCUUGAUCAGAUUAUGAGACUCCACCUACUUGGCAGAUGUGAAAGACUCAUUAUAUAGUUCCUAUGCUCAUCAGUAUAAUACUGCGCUGUGGUGAUCCCUGCUUACCACACUUGCCUUAUAAAACUUCUUAGUUUAAGUGUAUCCUUUCUCAACUCACCCACCAGUUUGAUGUGCCACCAUAGAGGUCCAAGACAACUUAAAAAGUAGCGCUAACUAAUAAGUUAAAAUUUGAUGUGCAAGUUUUCCUAUAUAAUGUCCCUGGCCUUGAGUUUUGGUGUUGAGCUAGGUUCAUGUUGCUCUGCAUAGGAGAAAGUUUUGAGUUAGAAUUUUAACAUUCAUCUUUGAUGACAUUCAUCAUAAAGUUAACUGCUAUGAUUCCUACCUAAAAUGAAAAGAAAAACUUUCCUCAACUCUCAAAAGCGGUCUUUAUUGACACCUUUCGUUCAUCGACAUCACAAAUUCCUCUCAUUUUUCCAAGAAUCAUCUUUCUGAAUGUGUGUGUACCUUAUUUACCUAUUAUGUCAAACUUUAGAGAUAUGAUAUCUGGAGAUGCAUUUGUACAUAGCAUACAAACACUUAACUAGUAUAAGCAUAUUGUUUUUCCUUUAUAGUAGCAGUUAAUACAUUUCAAAGAUAUUUGUCUUGGUUGCCUUUUUUCAAAGUUGUGUGGAUCAUCUGGUUCUUGUUGCAGCAUGCAGCAAGGUAUCUUGCAAACCAGGAAUGGGUUAGAGGUGAUUCCCUCAAAACAAUUGAAAACACUGCAGUAAGCCCCUUUUACCUGUCUAUUGUUAUUCUAGUAUUUCUUUGAUAUAUAUGUGCUCAUAACCCCUGCAGAAUUGUCUAAUUACAUAUCCCUGCAGAAUAUGAAUUUUCAUUCGAGUCCUUCAAUACCUAUUAAUCCUCAUAUGUACCUUUGUACUUGGAUACCCUCCUUCAUAAACUUUUUCUAGUAGAGAACCAACUUGCCCUAUGAAUUAUAUUAACUCCCCCUAUGUGAGAUUGGGGCAUUUUCGCCAUAAACUGCACUUUUGAGGGGCAUGCAUGAGAAUUCAGACUUUCAUUUCCAGACCCUGGCUUGGCUUGUCAUUCAUAUCCUGACUCAGCCGGGAUUCAUCUCACACUUUCUGCUGGUAAUUGGCUUUGAUAUCAAUUGUGAUGCCCCGCUUCCCAGAGGGUCACCCAUUCUAGAGUUACUCUAGCUCUAGCAUGCUUAACCCUCUUAACCUCAUGUGCCUAACCACAGCCCAAAAUGCUAUAGCUGAGUUAAGAGAUUUAGUCAUAUUAUACCUUAUAUAUAAGACUAUUCCAAAUACUAGUGGUGUCACAGAUACGUAGAUAAAUUUGCAGGGAUAUGUAAAUGUACAAGCCCCUGUUUCUUUUAUUUUCCUUUAUCUUUUAUGUACUUUAUGAUAUGGUCUCCAGAUACCUGUCAUCAUGCUUGUGGCUGAAGUUCCUUGUGACAUUAACCUCUGCAAUGAGAACUCUUCUGUAGUAGAUGCCUCACAAGAUCAUUCAAUCACUAUCGCUGGGGAGCAAGGAAGUGUUCCUCAUUCUGAUAGUUCUUGCCCAGAAAGUAGCUCCUGGCCUAUGUACUCAAAGAUGAGAAAGGAUGAUGCCGCUGAUGUCAAAUGUAUCCGUCUUGACAUAAGCUUCAAGUCACCAUCACACACUGGACUCCGGACUUCUGAAUUGGUAAUCUCUAGCUUUCUAUUUUAUUGCAUAGGUAUAUGCGUCACUACUAUCUGUCCUAGCAACAAAUUUAGUCCCCGAAACUUGAUCUUGAUUCCUAUUUUACCCACAGUUUUGAUUGUAACAAUUUAGGUGAAGUUUGCUCUGCACAAGGAUUGCCCACGCAACCCACACUGCGCUGUGUCGACCGUGCUGGCACAUGGCACGGGUGUGCUGCAACUUAUUUUUAAGUGUUUCGGUGUCUUUCUUUUUUUUUUUACUUUUGAGAUGAAAAGUUUUAGAGAGGUUUUUUCAUACUUGACAUACGUAGAUGUUGUGAAUUCAUUAAUGUUUGAAGCAACUAGUGAGGUCCAUUGCAUAAUGAGAAAACUUUUGUGAAACAACACAAAUUAGAAGUCUUUCCUGAUCUUUUUUAACAUUUUAGAUCUAGUGAAUUUACCCGUGGUAUUGUUUUCCUAUAAUUUUUUGUGCAAUUAUGAUUAUUUUUCUUUUCGUGUAUAUACUUUCGUAAUAUAUGUAAAAUGAUUUUUUUUUCCCGAUUGUUAAGAUCUUUAUUACUCUAUUCUAAUUAAUUGUGUGAGAUUUAAUACUUGAGCCAUUUGUAUAGCCUCUUUAAGCAGCUAUAUUUUUUUAAAUAAUAGUAUAAUAAAAAAGCAUGCCAACACAUGCCAGUGUGCAAGUAUUAAAUUGCGUGCCGACAUUGUUAGGUCUUGUGGCACCAUGCCGUACUGUGCCAUGCUGCUUGCACGACGUUCCUUGGUUCUGCAUAAUAAUAAUUAAAUCCUACUGAUAGUCUAUUUGAUAUGUGCCAUGUCAUCAAACUUGCAAAAGUUUUACUUUGAGGAUGAAUUUGAAAUCAAGGUCAAACUUCAGGGAUGAAAUUCAUUUGGAGAUCAUGCUUCAGGGACUAAAUUGGUACAAUUGAAAAUUGGGUAAAUUACAGUACUAGUCCCUGAAUUUUCACUCAAGUUUCAUUUUGGUCCUCAAAACUUUCAAAUUAUCUGUACACCUACAAAAAUAUUUCAUUGCAGUCCUUUGAAAUAAAAAUUGUUGCUCGCACCUAAAUUAUCUUUUGCUCAUACACCACAAAUUUUGCCAAUCCUUCGUCCCACUGGCACUUUCAAUUAAAUGGUCUAAAAUCUAAAUAGUAAAAAGAUUGGUACUAAAUUUGUAGUGUUGAAAUAUGUGAUGGAAUAAAGAAUCAAUAAAUGCUUAAUACAUAUGUAUACAAAUGCACUGGGUGUAGGCAAUAGUUUUCCUUCAAUAGUGAAUAUUCAUAGGGACUAAAAAUAAAGCUCUUUUAAGAUUUUAGGGAUAAUAAUGCCGACCUUAAAAGUUCGAGGACCAAAAUAAAACUUGACUGAAACUUUGGGGACUGGUGGUGCAAUUUAUGCAUUGAAAAUUGUAAUUCGAGUCAAAUAUCAAGUAGUGAAUUUCUAAUUAACCCUUCUAUUAUACUUUAGAUCCAAAGAACUUUUGGUUGCUAUCUAUUCUUAUUCAGCAACCAGCUCCCUAAAAUGGAAUCCACCAUUUGCUAUAGAUUUGGAUAUUUAUAGAGAACUGGAUUAUGAAGAAAGAUUUGAAAGACUGAUAGUUCGAAGAAUAGGUGUGCGUAAAAUUUUAGGCUUGCUUUCUAUUUUCCUAUAUAUAUUUUUUUCCUAAAAUCAUUUUGGUAUAUACCUAUACAGGUUAGAGAUCUCACUCAACAGUUUCCUGCUUCCAUGCCUCUUGCUUUGGUUCUCAAAAAAUUUUUGGCUGACCGUAGUUUGGACCACUCCUACUCUGGUGGUUUAAGUUCUUACUGUUUGGUAAGUAUUUAAUCUCUAUCUUGUCUUGUUGUUCAAUAAUAUUUUCUUCACAGUGAAAUGUCAAAUUAAUUAAUAUUUUUUUGAAUGAUAUCUUCGUGGUUAUUCUCAUACUGUUCCUUGGCUUGUUCUUCAUAUUUGAAGGGGCUCUCUCAUAUGUCCUUAAAGAUUAUGCUGACAUGUCUUGAUUCUGAGUUGCCUGUUUAUUUCACUAAUGUUCAAUUUGAGGAGGUUACUUACCUUCAUACUUUUUUAAUCUCUUGGAGAUGAGGAAGGUCCCAAGAAGAGACAAAAAUCCCUUGUAAUAUACAGUUACUACCUAAUAAAUUGAAUUUAGUUAUGGCAUCUAUCCAAAGAUAAGUAUGUGAAAUCUUCAUUUGGCUCCAGGUUAUUUGUUUAUGAUAGUUUUACAAUUAAGCAGUAUAAUUGUACUUGAGCUAUUAUGGGUUUCCUGUAUCUCUAUUUUUAAGGAUAUCGCAAUCACAAAUAGUUUAGCCACUCACUUUUACUUUGUUCCAUUCUGCAGAUCUUGCUGAUUACUCGCUUUCUUCAGCAUGAACACCAUGUUGGCCAGCCGACUAACCAAGUAAGCCUCGAAGCUAUAAUAUGCAAAAUGCAAAAGGAUGUUUUUUUUUCCUUAACGGUGGUGUGUAGUUUUUACGUAAGCCUGCUUUGUUUCUGUGUAAAUAUAGAUUGGUAAUGUAUACUAGAAGUAGCUAUUUUUUUUUUCUUUUCUAUUGAACAUACAGUUCUUCUACAUUAAUGUCAAUUAUAACUUUUGCUUGAGUCAAUUUAAAUCAUGAAUAAGUUGAUAAGUGGAAGUACAAGCACUUAACAUAUCUAGUGCUAGUUUAUAACACAUAUAAAAUGCUAACUUAAUCCAUGCUAAUUGAUAAGGCGCAAAAUUUUGUUAGUCAAAAAUUCAUGAAAAAGGAUAGUAACUUCGUAAAAAUUUGGUUAACUUGGGCUAUAUCUGCUGUAGAGGCCUAGUAAAGUUUAUUUAGAACCAAUUGAAUUUAUCUGAAGAAUUUUAUUAGCUACAUCUGUAGUAGAGAUUUAUGAGUAAGUUGAUUAAUUUUUCACGUAGUUCAGAAGACUCUUCUCCUAAGCAAAUCCCUUGUGCUUGGUAAUGUCUCAUAACAUGGAUCCAAUGUAGAAAUCUUAAUAUUUGUAUUCCUGUUAUUUUCAGGAUAAUUCAGCCUUUUCAAAAGUAAUUCAGUUGAUCUCCUAUUAUGCUUUAUUUCUUAAACUCGCUUUCUAUUCUGUAGGGCUAACAGAUAUUUUUUUUAACAUGUGAUUUUAUUCAACUUAAGUGGUUGGUCAUGUAGGAUACUGCCAAGCUAUUAGAUUGCAGGUAUAUUUUUGCAAUACUGUAGAUGAAAUAUUGAAGGUCGCCGGAGCAAUAAUUAUAAAUGUCCCUAUUUUCAAGCGUCCGACUUUUUAGAUGGUAGGUAUACUGCUGAAAUACUGUAGACAAUUUUAAAGGUCAUUAGGGAAAAGUUAGAUACAUAUAAAUGUCUCUAUUACCCUUGGUACUUUGAAAUGACACAAUUAUGAGCAAAUAAUGAAUUGCGCUGUAAGUUGCUAGGAAGAGCUGUCUCAUGCUACUUUGCUGUCAUUACUCAGUUAAAAAAGGUAUUAGAAGAUCACUUAUACAUUCAUUUGAUUUUUUAUCUAUUUUUCUUUUCAAUUAGACUACUAUAUAGAUGAAUCUAGAAUUGUUAUAUAAAUAGAAUGUGAUGCGCCACUUCCCCAGGGGGUCACCCAUCCUAGAACUACUCUAACCCUAGGCUCAAUCAACUCUCUUAACUUCUUGGGUCUUGCGACUAUCCAAAAUGCUAUAGUUGGGUUAAGAAGUUUAACCCUACUAUAUUUUAUAUAUAGGAUUAUUCUAAAUCUUGGAGGUGUCAUCCCCCCAACCCUCCCACCCCCAACCUGCGAGCGCUAAUGUCCUCGUUAGCUCAUGCACACACAAGUUUCAGACGAUGUGAGACUCGUCUCUCUAGCCUUGAGGGGAGUCGCGCUUCACCCACAACGGCCCGAGAGUCGCACUCUUGCCCGCUGUAUGACACUAGUUCAGCAAGACUUACCUCACACUUGCAGCUGGUGAUUGGUUUUUGAUACCAACUAUGACGCCUCCCUUCGUGGAGAGUCAUCCAUCCUAGAACUGCUUUAACCGUAAGCUUGCUCAACCCUCUUAAUCUCUUGGGCUUAGCGGCUGCCCAAAAUGCUGCAACUAGAUUAAAAGACUUAACCCUACUAUACCUUAUAUAUAGGACUAUUCCAAAUCAUGGGGAUGUUACAUAGGACUAGUUUUACAAGUAGUUUGAUCUAAUAAAUGCAACAUUAGCAUCUUCACACACAGCUUAAUAUAACUUUUUUGUUUUUUUUCCUCAGCAGAACCUGGGCAGCCUUUUGAUGGAUUUCUUUUACUUCUUUGGGUGAGGAUAAGUAACUCAAUUUUCCUUUACAUAAUUGAAGAGAUGUAUUAAGUGUUGCAAAAUAUUCUGGUAAUGAAUGAACUUCGAAUGUGUAAUCGAAUGUGGUGAUUUCUUUUUAACAUGAAUUGCAGGAAUGUAUUUGAUCCACGCCAAAUGCGUAUUUCUAUCCAAGGAACUGGCCUCUAUAUGACCCGGGAAAGAGGGCUCAGGUUAGGAAAGUAAUGGAUUACGUAAAUAGAAAUUCACCUUCAUUUUUUUUUUCUUUCUUGUAAUGUUACCUCAUUUGUCAUGUCUAUCCAACAUUUUGCAGCAUUGAUCCGAUUCAUAUUGAUGAUCCUCUGUACUCAGAUAACAAUGUUGGCAGGAACUGCUUCCGUAUUCAUCAGUGUAUCAAGGUCAGUUCACUUGUUUCUGCUUCAUCCACAUCCCAAGUUCUAUAUACAAUGGAUGUGUGAAAGAAGUGUGAUGAUAGGCUGUUGGUUCUAUCUUUAUGUUAAAGAGCUGUGUUUAUUCGCCUCGUAUCUCUGCUCAUACGAUCAUUCCAAUAGAUUUGAACAACAAUUGAAUUUCCGAUUGCUUUAAAGAAUUCUCUACAUUAUGAAUCUGUUAUCUUUUGAUUACUUUGAAACUCAAAAAUAUCCUUAUAUUCAUGACAUACUGCAGUAACUUUAUUAUAUUCGUUGAUCUCGCUUUUAUGUUUUUCUCGCCUGCCUGCUUUAUAAUGUCUGAAAUACUUUUUUAGGAGUUUGUAGUAAGAUAUUCAUUGGUCUCCCCUUGUUUCUAUCUUUUCCAAUUUUAAAAAUUCAUUAUACAAAAUCUUAAGCCCCUUAUUUAGCAGUGUAAAUUGUUGCUUAAACUUGUCUCUUUCUUUUCUUCCCUACUUUUCUUCUAUUUUUCAGUUCAGAUAUUAGUGUCUAAUGAGGCCUUCUGAACUGUCAUAGUUACCUUACUGGAUCUUUUGCUGACAACUCUUCUGUGUGAGCAUUAGUAUAUAGGCAUUUUUAGGAAAGUUUGUAGAGAUGAUGAUUUUUCAUGAUGCGUUCAUUUGUAUAAAUCUUUUCGGUUAAACAUUUAUUAUGUCUCACAUUGUAACUGUAUUGUUGUUGUUUCAGGCUUUUGCUGAUGCUUACUCUGUACUGGAAAAUGAGUUAACACAGUUUUCUGGAGAUCAUACUCCAACUUCAGCAUCGUCAUUCAGUCUACUUAGGAAAAUCAUCCCUAGUAUAGACCAUGAUGGUUAAAUUCUGAUUUUCGAGUACAUUGGAACUGACCUUAAUGCAUGUCCGGCAUUGAGAUGAGCUCCAGCUCUCUACCACAGUGACCACGAAAAACGACUCGACGCCUAUGGUUUGAUAUCUCUUUCAGAGCUCUUUUACUACUGGAAUGGGUUUUGAAUGUUAUUUUUUUUAUCAGUUGCAUUGUUGAUAAUGCUGUUGCACAUCCUUCCAGUGUAUUAAAAGAUUUAGGCUUUUACAUUUAUAUCCCUGCAAAAAUCACCUCUUUACUUAAAAAAAACUCUUGUAACAUGUGAAUUUGUGAAUAUACUGCUUCAUGUUGCAGUUUCUUUCAAAACAUAUUCUUAAGUUGUAGUAUUAAUCAAUUCAUGGGGGAAACAUGAUUUUUUAUGAGAAAUGAUUUUAUUGAAAUUUGUAAUUGAAGGCAAUAUUUGUAAGAAAUUAUGUCCUUGAAUGGCAAAUGUGAAAAUUUAGAUUUUGCAAGGAUAUAAUAACACUUUAGGGGAAAUGUUUGCUAAUAUAAUAAGCAAAGUUUCUAAGAUGGAAAUAACAUGCAGGAGUUAUGUGUGCUAGUUUUUCAUGUGGCGGAUGGAUGAAUUCGUUACUGCAGGUAAAGCUCCCCGCUGACAUUACUGAAAAUAAAUCAUUUAUAUCUUUCUUCUGAACUUUAUACUAACAUUUUGUUGUUAAUAAGAAAAAAAAAUGUGUUGCAGGGAUCGGCAUUUUAACUGCUGGCAUGUAUGCAUUUGAUGCUUCUGGUGUUACAAACCUGCUUAAACUCUCCUCUUUCUUGUAAGUGCGGCUAUAGAUGUCUUAAUUUUCAUCCACUUAAAUAAAGCGUUGACUUUUAGGUAUUACCAGGUUUGAGAGUCAAUUUGAAAUUGUUUCUUUUGCCUUCAAGAGAAAGCACUAGAGAGGGGCUGCUAUGUGUAUUGAGAAGAGCUUAUUACAGUGCAGAGAAGGAAUAGGCCAAAUUACAAAACCCUCCACUUUAGCCUAUGUCUUAAUUAAUCGUUGCCUAAAAAUAUUGCAUCAUUUCAGCCCUGUAGUUUACCACUGUCCUAGCAAGUACCAAAAAUUUGGGAUGGUUGUUGAAUUUGGAUGCAAAACUUCACCGGACUGAGUUUGCAUAUUCGUUUUAUAUCCAGCAUCUAAGUUGCAAGUUGCAACUUACAAAAACAUAAAAUAAAACUAGAUAAAAGAGGUCCUCUCCUUUACCAAAGCUUCCAAAUUUGGCAGUUUAUUUGGCAAUUGAUUCAGUCUAUGUGAUUCUACUCCGCUGAAUAUAAGUAAUGCCAUCUGCUAAUUUUCGUCAAGUGUUGCAUCCAAAUUCCACGAGUCAUCUUUAAAAACUUGGUACUGUUUGAGAUGCUGCUGAAGUGUAGGGUUGAAAUUGAUGCAAUUUUUUAUGAUGGGAGUAAUCGAUACGCUGUUUGAACUGCAGGGAACUUGUAAUGUUGCCUAUUUUGUAAUUCUGCCAAAGAAACAUACAGGAAUUUGGAUGCUUGAACACUCUAGUUGCAUUUUAAAGACGUAGGAUAUUCCAGUAUAACUUUUUAAAAAAUAAAUGAACAGAUGUUGAUAUUAGUGAGAAUGCUUUGGCAAGAAUGUUUGCCAUGAUGAUCAAUUAUGAGUCCGGAGUCCGAUGCAGCUUAUUUAUAUCUUGCGUGCAUACUUUCUUAAAAAUGCUUUUACUACAGUUUGUUAUAAUAAAAAUGCUUUUACUAUAGUUUGUUAUAAAACACCGACCAAUUACUGUUCUUGCCCAUCCAUUUACAAUGUAUUUGGUAUAAUGCAUGCAUAAACUUGAGUGUUCUUCUUAUAUUUUGUAUUCUUUUGGCAUUUUGUAUUUUAGAUCAUGUUGAACAAGGGCUUCACUUGUUAUGAUCAAUGACGGUAUCUGGUGGAUUAUCUUUUUCCUCGGGAGCAGGCUUGACUCAUGACAACUGCCUCUCGUGUCCGGAAGGUAGGUAUGGUCAUAAAGAGUGGCGACUUCUUUUGAAUACCUCAUGUUGAAUUGCAAGGAUUUCUCAUAUAAAUGAUUUUAAUUGGUUUCAACGGGCUGAGUUGCCUAAGAGAGUCACUUUUGAUGGCCACUUUCAUUAAAUUGCUUGUUUGUCCAAAAAUCACCUUACAGGAAGUCAAGAUCCAAUGGUUAAAUCAAUGGAUCUGUUGUUUAGUUACCUUAAUGAAAGUUACCCUAGAGGAAGUUGUCAAUUCGGCCAGUUUCAUUUGAUUGUUUGUCUGAAAGGCACUAUAGAGGAAGUCAAGAUCCAAUGGUUACAUUAGUGGAUCUAAUACUGUAUCAGUUGUUUUAUGGUUUUGAUUCAGCAUUAAGUGACUUCGGAUCAAUUGAGGGGAAAGUAUAGAGUAGGGCAGUUUCACUAGUUUGGCCCAUUUUCACUAGACCAAACACCAGGAACUUUUGAGUUGUGCCAAAACUCAAGUUCACCCCAUUCACUUACAUUAAAUCAAAUACACCCCUUAAUGUUGUUUAUUCUCUCUCAAUAACUCGUGGCAAUUGUACCGUCGAUUUACAUAUUCUGGAGGCAUCUUAAACGACAUUACUUGCUUUUUCUUCAAAAUCUUCUGAUAAAUACUAGCAAAUUAAGGUGGAAACACAAAGGGACAUGAUCCUGCAAGGAUGAACAAACUCCACAAUCCUGUCCUUUCUGCUCUUUGCCAAAUGGAUCUGGGCAAACACUGACUCUUAUUCUUUUUUUAUCUUCGUGUUUUCUUGUCUAGUAUUGUAUUCCUAAAUAUCCAUCGAAUCUCCUCUAUCUGAAGCUUGUUUUAAUAGUUGCGGUUUUCACUAAACUGUUAUUAAGGAUGACAAACAGCAUCAUUUAACUUUUUGGCAUAUCUAUAUGCAGUGAAAAUAGAUUAUGUUGCAAAAAGGAACUCCUAAAAGGACUCGGCUGGGAAAUCACAUCAUCCAGAUCUUGGAUAUACAUUUGUAAUAUCGGUGUUCGUCACUUUAAUCCUAUCAGGUAAGUUUCAAGUUGGUUAUUUUGCUGUGAAAUGUUUCAUGCAAUCUAAAAUGUGACAUUGAGCGCUCUUUAUGGAAACUAUUCUGCGCAUUGUCUUAUUACAGUUACGCAGGUCUCAUAAUGGAAAAUAUAGCUUUGAUGAUCUUUUGUAAGAGAAGCGGAUAGGUCGGAUAGUUGUGGUGGCAUCGAAUUAGAAGUAUGGAUAAGAUGCUGAAUUAUAGAGAAUGAAGCUCACAAUACAAGUGAGAACACAGAGCGCCCGAACUCUAUUCCUCGGUGAAUUCGGAUUCCCGGACCGUCCAUCUUCGUUCCUUUGAGAAGUUUCAAUGAGAAGUGGAGGCGAGCUGAUUCGAGAGAGAUUUUGGGCCGAAAAGAAAAGCUGCUUUUCUCUGUUUAUGUAGUGUUGUGUCACUUGUGAUUUGGAAAAAACAGCUUCAUUAAGAAUGAACCGAAACAUUGUUGUCUUUGCUUGGAUGCUGGUCGGCCAGAUAUAUUUGCUUGGGAUGUGUAUAUAAAAUGUAGGUAUACCAAUAGUGACUAGCAGAGUUACAGUAUCUGUUAGUCUUAUUAAAAUGUUAAGAAAGAAGAAUCUAUAUUAGUGUCACAAAUCCUUUAUAUUUUUUCUGCCAUGUUACGUGAUUUUGAUUAUUGUCAAAUAAAAUUCAUUAAUUUAUUAAAAUUUACGUUAAAACUAUAUAUAUAAUAUAUUUUGUACAGAGUGCAUCUCGCGCACGCCUUUAUACUAGUGUAUAUAUAUACAAAAAAGGAGAGAGGAAUUGUUACUAAUACAUUUAACCUAUGGAGGAGCAUUUAGUUUAAACAUUUGUAUGGUUAUAUAUAUGCAUUAUUUUAUAAUAAAUUAAAAUAUAUUGUAAUAUACAAUAAUAAUAAUUUUAUAAUAGUAAUAAUAUAAUGAUGAUUACCAUAGUAUAUAGCAACUAUUAGUGCUAUUAUAUUAUUAGUUAAGAAUCUGCGCUUCAUAACGGAUCAUAGUAAAGAAAUUAUUACAUAAAUAAAAAUAUUUUAUAUAUUAGAGAUUUUUAAAGUUGUAAGUCUUUAACAAAACAGCUCAUUAUUUUGAAACCAAAUCCAAAAAACAUGCAUGAUUAGCACAUGUAUUAAUUGUCCAUAAAGUCAAUCACAUCACCUCAAAGUUUGAAAUCCAAAAAAAAAAAACAUGAUUAAUAUGUAGAGUUGGUCUUCUAUGAAUCUGCAAAGUCAAGAGUUAAAAAGGAAGGAAAUUAGAGUUUAUGGUAAAGAGUAUCAUUGGAGUGAAGUAGUUGUAGGAAAAUCACCCAAGUCGUUUUCUGCUCCGUUCCUCCACACUUGUAGAUAGUUCUAUCUUAUUAGGUACAGUUUGUUGGGUAUAAGUAAGACUACUAUUACAGGGAUAGGUACAAGUAUGUGGAUAAAAAAUAGUGUUUUGAUGAAAAUUGGGUUGUUUCCGAGGAUAAGAACAAUUUUAGGUAGUUUUAUAUAUGAAAUUGGAGGUGUUGGUGGGAAUAACCGAGAACUACUAUUCUCGGGUAAAAAAUUAGCGUUUGGAUAUAAAGGGGGAUUAAGGGCCUAUUCCUAUCCCUAUCUCUGAACCAAACGCUGUCUUUAGAAAACCUGGUAAAAACUAUUCCAGCACAUUAGCAACCUAAGUAUAGCAUUCUUUUGUGCAAAGCAUGUAGAGGGGAGAAGUAACCACACCUGGAAUGAGUUAUCUUAGGUUAGAGAUGCUUCUCCAAAUAUGUCAUUCUUAGUACAAAAACAUGAGUCCCCAUCAUCUUAUUCUACCUAAUAAAAAGUCCAUGUUUACCUAUUGAUGCUUAAUGUCAUCAUGUAUACCAUAAAAAUGUUUAUAACCUACUUUACAAAUAGGUGUAAUUGUACAGCAGAGCCCCUCAUCUUAUCCUUUUUAUUAACAUUCUCUUAGUUUCCCAUUUUUGUAAAUCGAAGCCACUAAACUACGAACUUCCUAGAAAUUUAAAAAAAAUAAUGCGAUGGAAAACACUUUUUGACAACUAUGAUAUCAAAGAGCCAAUUUGCAAUGAAUAUUCUGGGAAUAUUCAUAUCAUCUCCGGUAUCAUCUCCGGUCGCGAUCGAAGUUGUAACAAUCAAAACAGAGAAAAGCUUUUUGAGUUAUGGAGAUUACUUGCUUACUCUGCAAUAUGCUCUAAUUUGUUUCAAAUAACGCAAAUCUUGUGAUGUUUUCCUACAUAGAGCUGAGAACAUGCAGCAAAUAGCAUAAUUCAGGAUUUUCAAACAUUCCAUGCCCAAAUGGAACUGCUAAGAACCUAGAAAUUAAAUUAAGUAAUCCAUUACUUAACUGAUCAUAUAACCUAAAGUCAACAACCACAGAAAAGGAAAGCAAGGUAGCAAAUUACAAAUUUUCACCAUCUCGUAGUCAAAUCAACUUCUAAUAACCCAAAAAAUUGAAAUUCAGCUGUACCCAUCACUUAAUUACAAUAGAAAUCAAAAUUAAAAAUAAGCCCUAAAAAGCACACUCAGGUAGCAAAAUAUAGAAUUUUCACGCAAAAUAACAACCCGCGAAAAUGAAAAAUUUAGUUAAAUCCGUCACUAAAUUUGAUCAAAGAAUACAUAUAAAUCAAAGCAAAGAAUACAGAAGAUGAUAAUAAUAUGAUCAGUCAAACAUCUCUAAAACAUCCGUAAUCUUCAAACAAAUCCGUUAAUAAAUGAUUAUUCUCAAACGCACAGAGCAUACUUCAUAUCAGCAUUUAGACUUAUCUGUCAAUUUGAUCAAUGAGAUAACUCAGCAAUAAAUGAUAAACGAAAUAAGAUUUUCAUUAAAAACCUUCGUUGCAUCAAUCUAGUUCAUAUCUCACUAUUUCCAACAUCUUGUUGGUCGCAAACACCAAAAUAAUAUGUUUUUAUGAUAUGUAGACCAAUUAGUACAGUGAUUGACAGUAAAUGCCUAGGAAAAAAUGGUGUGGAAAAAUCAAUGGCAUUAAAGUAAGCAUAAAGCAGCAAGUUAUAAGACAUAUCCAAACCAAACAUUCCAUAAAAGUGGUCUCGACUUCUUUCUACCCAACAUCUCACAAUGUUGCAAAUAGCUCAUGCCGAAAGAAUCAAAUAAAGAAAAAAUAGCAAGUAAUGAAUUUAAUUUACAAUAAUUAUCUAAAAAUAAUCUCUAAUAUUAUUUUUUAUUAUCCUAACUCAAAUACCAAAUAAAUUAAUAUUAUUUUUAUUAUCCUAAACUCAAAUACCAAAUAAAUUAAUAUAGUACGUACAUACCACCAAAAUAUACCUUUGGCAGACGAAGGCUCAUAAUUGUAGGAUCCAGUCUUACUAAAACUAAAAUAAAUAUUGGUAUGUUGAGAAUGUUAUUUGAGGAAUUAGUGCUGGUUGUAGCGAAAUUAAAAUCUAUGUCUGCUUUUCAAGACAGCAUAUGAUAUGUAAAUAUCACACCUUUAUAUAUUAUUUUUAUAAAUAUAUAAGUAUGUAAUAAUAUUAUUUAUUUUACAGUAAACAAUUGAGUCGACAACUUUAUCGCAUAUAAUUUUUGACAGAAAAGUGACCAUAUGGAGUAUCUUGCUGUAUCAAUUUCGUUAUUACUGCAGAAUAGUAGUUUCACGGUAAAAUUAAAUAAUAUUAUUUUUAGUAUUAUGUGGAAUUUGGAUGGUUAUGAAGGUUUAUUGGCUAAGAUGAAGGGGGCAUACAAUAAUAAUUCAAUUGUUGACUUUCUGAGAUUUAUUUUGGCCACAUAUAAUCACUUUGAGUAGAACCGUUAUGAUUAUAUUAAGAUGCUAAGACUUAACUUUUUCUUAUUAUUCAUCAAUAUACUUUAUUAUUUUUAAUAUCUAAUGAUAUGCAUUUCGAAAAAAAAUAGAAUAUCAAUUAGCUAAUCUAUAUGAGUAUAUAUAGUAAGAUAUCCUGAAUUAUAUUAUUAAAUAAAUUAAAUAAAAAAAUAUAUGAGAUGGAACUCUAAAUUUACAUUACAUUAUUUUUUUUUCUUAAGUUGGAUAUUAUAUUAUUGAAAUAAUGUUUGAUAGUGCUUUUACAAUGUGAGUAUUGCGUUUGCCUAUUAUAUUAAUAAAAUAUUUCACUAACAUAUUUUACUUAUAAUUAUAUAUAUGAAAAUAUUGUACAUAACAUAAUUUAUUAUUAUAUUUAUUUAUUUUAAUUUAUGCAAAAUUAGCACACUUUUAUUACUUUAUAUUUUAUUAAUUGUAGCUUUGAAAAAAAAUUACAGUGUGCCAAUAACAAAUGUAUCAUGCUGCGAUCUACAAGUGAACAAUCAGUGAACAUAAGAGAUAGUGUGUACUGUUAUUUAUGAGAUAGGUUGUUUUGAAAAAGGUUAGUGUUUGCAGAUUUUGUUUUGAAGUUUGAAUUCUUGUCUUUUUGUUUGUUCGUCAUUCUUCAAUGUAACUGCUACUGCAAGAGGUCUAUGCAAGCGUGGCCACUGAAAUUGAAGAGAGUAUCCAAUGCAUGCAGAAAAUAUUAUUGAAAGAUGCCAGUGAGAAAUGUCGCACUAAAUUUUUUGUGAGUCAUCUCUCUAUGUCAGAAAAUUUUUAACUUAUUAUUCUUCUGGCUUCUUGGACUGAAUCUGUUUAUUUAUCACUUUUAAAGCUCAAGAAACUGAGACUGCAUCGACCGUCAGUAAGUCGAUAGAAAAUUUGCAUUCUGUUGAAAUUGUGGCGCGUGGACAUGACACCCGUACUGUAAUUAUAUUUCUUCCAUUGAAUAUUACUCUCGUUUAUUUUUUGCAAAGCAACUUUGUUUUCUAUGGACAACUAAUUAUGUUGAUAGAGUCUAGCGAAAGGCGCAAUGAACAAAUUAAGAAAUAUUGUUUAACAUCUUAUUUAAUAUUUCUAUCGUUUCUGGAACUCUCGUUCGUUUGUUUGUAGUGGCGCAAUGAAGUAUCAUGACUUUUGCGUAGUUACCUCGAGCUAAGAUGUUGGUAAGCAAAGAAACUGGGUAUCCUACCAAAGGUAAUGGAUUUUUAAAAUAAUGCAUGUGAAUAUAUGCAUAUGCCAUGCGAGAUAUAUGAUAUGCAUGCGUAUGUGGCGGAUGCUCUUGAUUAUCGUAUGUUUAAGACCUCGAACUAAAUGUGCUCUUUUAUUGGCAGGAGCUCAGGGCCUGUUUAAGAGCUACCGGCGGAGCGGAGAUUGAAAGCAGCAGAAGGCUUGCUUUUCUCGUUUUUGUUUUUUUGGUUAGUUUCUGCUUGUGGAAAUAUGGUAAUACAUUAAAAGACAAAUAGUAAAUACAUAAAAGAACUAAAAAAUUUUGAGUACAAACAAAUAAAAGUAUAGCAGUUAAUUCAACAACAUGCAGGAGUUCCAUUAGAUAACAAUAAAAUUGAGUUGUAGAAGCUGAGGAAAGAGUGCAAGAGUGGCUGAAAGAAAAAAUAAUAGUCAGUAAAAAAUUAAAAGAAAGAAUGAAAUAGAGACUUAUAGAAAAAGUUGAUUAAGAAAUAAUUACUAACCUGCCUGUCCUCAAAAAAUAAUGCGAUUGCAUGUACAAAAAAUCAAGUGAAGCAGCAGCACUUGCAAAAAUAAUUAGAAUAUAUAAGUGUCAGAACUUAAUAGUCAAAUAAUUUAACAGGAAUAGUAAGAAAACACCAUCACAACAAUAAAUAAAAAUAAUAUACAGAACCACACUGGUUGCAAAUAUUUCGCAAUUUUCAUCCUAGUUAAUUUACUUUGUAAAAUAUGAGUUUAGCGAUAGAUAAGUUUAAAGGGUGACAGGUUAGGCGCGGACACAAAUCCAUAACAAACCUCAUAAUUUAGGUUAAACUGACAGUAUUUCGUACAAAAGUCCAAAUAUAAGAAAUACUUGACAUGUCGACAAAAAGGAAAUAGAAUUUAAUUCAGAAAGUAUACCUGCCUAAAUGUCAGGAAAUACCUCCACGUGCACUAAAGAAAACCUGAUUUGUCCAAAAUUGAACAGGAGAACUGGAGGGAUAGAUCUGACUGUUAACAUUGAGUUUAUGUUUCUAGUGUCCAUAGACAGGCAUUAAGACUCUGAGCUAGCUGGCAUCAUGUCCGUGUGAAUCCAUCUCAAUACCAUUGCAUUUAAUACAAAUUCCAUUAUAGCAUAAUGUGCCUUGUUCUUUGGAUUGAGAUAGCAACUCCUCGAGGAUUAUUCAUAAACAGUACACUUGAAGGAAUUCAAUUAACAGUUUAUUGGCAAAAGGUGACGACUGAUAACGAGUUUUGCUAACAUUUGCAAGAGAGGAUGGGUUGAAGUGCAACUUGGUGAGACUCAUGUGAUGCGGCUAUGUGACUGCUCAUGUGGUGCAACCAUAUCGAGACAGGCCUAAUGAAGGGACACUUGCUAUCUUUACUGAGUUCUCUCCCAUGGCUGAUCCCUCUUAUUGAGAAGGCGUCCGAAAGUAUUCGUAUACAAAAGAAGGAAAAGAAUGAAUUAGAACUAAUAGUAAAACUCCAAUAUCUUUUCCAAUCCACAUAUAACAGUAGAUGAAAAUAGUAGCAAAAGAUCAAGUGAAGCAGCAAUUCGAAAAAUUGAUUAUAAAAAAAAAAACAUCAUCAGCAACAAUCGAAAAGAUAUAAACGUGAAAUAAAAUGAAGAAGGCAGCCAUAAGGUUAAGUAGAAAGCUAGAGAAAUAUCAGCAAAGACUUGUAGUAGAAAAGCGAUACAGAAAAAAAAAAGAAAAAUGCAAACGCUAAACUAAUGUAAAAUACACAUCAUAAGGAGUAUAAGCAGUAGUAGUAGAAAUUUGAGCAAAUCGACAAGAUCAACAUGUAGUUAAAUUUUUCCUAUUUUUAACUAUAGGCUCAGAUAUUAAAUGAGGCAUUAUCAAUAGUCGCACAAAUAGAUUUUUCUCAUUUCAGAAGUCUUCGAAGAAAAAAGGUGCCGCAUAUAGUUAUAUGUUCUCAAUAGUUUAUGUAUUUCUUGCCUGGGGUAAUCACUGUUGCAUUUUAUUUAGUAACUGCAUCCUAGUUGAACCGCAAAGCCAGCAGAGAAAUAGAGUUUUUUUUGCCGCAAGAUAAAUUUUUACAGAGCAUAUUAUAUAGCAGUAAAAAGGGACGGCGGAGAAUGAAUUCCGAACCAUUUUUCGUGACCGGAGGGAAAUGAAUAAGCGUAACGGAAGCGUCGCUAAUGGGAAACGGCGCGACCGAAAAGGAGCUGACCAAUGAACUAGGCCCAACAUCUCCGUCCAGAGAGGAAGCAAGGAGUCGGAGCGGCAUCUAGGGGGCGAACAAAACGAGUGUCGCUAACGGAACGGUGCGACGGGAAGAAGGCCCGACCAUGAAGCUCAGCCGCAUCAUUCGGUCAGAGGGCACAGGAGUCAGAGAGGGCAAUCCUAAAGGGGCGAAGCGAAGGACGCCGAGAUGUGGAAGAUGAAGUUAAUUAGAAAGCAAAGAAAAUUAAGUUGGAAGCAGAGUAGGUAGGUAAAAGGAAUUUGGUUGGGUGGGCGCCCACCCACUUAUUAAUUUAAUAGAAGUAUUAAGAUGCAAGGUAGGGCUAAAAAGAUUAAAAUUAAGCUAAUGUUGGCACGUGGGACAAAGAGAACGGAAUUUCAUAAGGGUUAGAAGACUUAUUAGGCAAGCAGCAUAUAUAUGUUUUGCUUACAUCAACUUGUAAGUGAAAUCCUUGUUGCAACGGCUUGCAUAACUGCCACCCAAGUUGCCUUACAUAUAUAUACUCUUUUCAUAUUAAUCAUAAAAAGAUUAUUCAAUUUUGUCAUCAAAUCGCCAAAUACAACAAAUAAAUAAACUUAAUAUUACGGUUCCUAGAACUUAUUAGAAGUAUGCUGAAAUAAAUCACAGAUAGUAAACAUAAUAGAGAAGCAACAACAAAAUAAAAAGGAACUGCGCUCAAGAUGUGAUAAGAGGAAUGUUCAAGUAAAAUAUACACUUAUACUAUAUAAAUAUAUAUAGAUAACAUCUUUGUUAUCAGAACUACAACAUUAAUUAAAUAUAUAUACUGUAGAAAAUCGGAGUAAAAGAUAAGAAAAUCAAAAAUUUUGAAAACCAUGAAAAUACAACAUAUCAGAUAAGGAGUUAUUUUUUGUAAAAAAUAUUUUAAGAAAAACAUGCAAACUAUGGCAUUUUCAUAAAAAUAAAUUUCGUAUGAAAAGCAGUAGGGCAAUAUCUGCAAAGGAAAAAGGAUAUAAUUAUAAAGUUUAGGCCACUGUUCUAUUGGUCAACUUUAUUGAACUGCUUUAAAAAGAAGAAUUUGUUUACUCUCAGUCUCCGCUUUAUUAUGAUCGUAAAAAUUGUUAUCAAACAUAUGUAGCAUUAACAGAAAUUUGAUCUAUUGUUAAAGUUUCGAAACAACAUAAGUGAAUUCACACAAAUAUAAAAUACUAUGAAGCAUCCCAUGUAGAAAAUUCGCAUCAAGGAAUUCAUCUUGAAUUUGUAGUUGUUAAAGUCGAAAAACAGAGUGUAUUGGCAAAUGCUUGUCAGCUUCUGAUUCAUGAGGUUAGACAUAAGUGUUUACAUGUGGUAGAAUACACCAUGCAUGCAUUUAUGGAUCUGGCUACUCAGGUUCUGCUUCAAGAGGUUAGACAUGAGUAGUAAAACAUGAUAGAAGACGACACGCAUGAAUUUAUUCUACAACAUAAGCACAUAAAUUUAGUUUAUUUCCUAACAUUUUUUUAAGAUUAGAUAUAAACAAACGAAAAAUAUAGACAAAAGAAUAAUAGGGAUGAACUAAUAUGUAUAAAAACUUUCUGCUUUAACUUCAUUAAAAAAUAUAUAUAUGCAAAACUAAAAUUAAUUCGAUUGAUAUUUGAGGCUUGUGUAUAUGCAUGAUUUUAUUUUUUUCGAUCGAAGAGAAAUUCGCAGAGCUCUCUCUCUGAAUUUUAGAAUUUAUCCCAAAGAAAGGAACAUGCUUGUUUUGGCAAUUGCUUGUCAGAUUAUGCUUUGAGAGGUUGGACAUAAGUGUACACAUAAUAGAACACAACAUGCAUGCAUUUAAGGGUACAUUUGACUGCUCAGGUUUUGUUUCGAGAGGUUAUACAUGAGUAUUAACACAUGAUGGAAGACGACAAAUAUGAAUUUACUGUACAGCAUAAGCAUACAAAUCUAGUUAUUUCCUAGCAGUUUUAUGAAGAUUAUAUAUAAACUGUUGGCAUUCGGUUAAAUCGAAUCGGGUACGCCCAUAAGCGGGUUCGAUCCGACGGAUAUUAUGUUAUCUAAUUGGAUUAGGAUUAAUCUCGCUUUCAAAUUGAAAAGCUAAUUAGAGAUAAAUCUAAUCAUAUUAGGAUAACAAAUAAUAACCGAUUUGGCCUUAUCUUUAACGCUAUUAGGAUUUUGGAAUUUCUUAUAAAUAGACGGGCGAUCCCACAUAAAACGAACGAACGGAAAAAGAGAGAGAAUAAGAAAAUAAUAGAGAGAAACCACAUCCUCCAUUGACCUAUUAUUCUAAGAGGAACUUGAACGGUGGAUUUGUGAUCGUGCUCGUUUGUAGUUCGAUCCAUCGCGAGUUCGGAACGUGAGAAGAUCUAAACAAGGACGAUCAAAGGACACGUGAAUCAACCUCGACGAUCCGGGCGUUAUAACGUGAAUCGCUUCCGCAAAAGGUACGAACGAAUACUUCCGCUGCGUUCUACAUAAACAAAAGGACAAUAAAGACAGAAGGAAUAAUGGGAAUGAACUUGUAUGCAUACAUGGUCAAGAUAAUUUAAAAAAAAAAAAGAAAAAAAGAAUAAAGGGAGACUCUCAAUUUAAAAUAGAAAAUGUACAUGAUAGACAAUAAGCACAACUUGAAUAAAGAGCAAUGGGUUACAUGUGUAUAAAUAGAAAAAUACAAAGCAAUGGGUAUUAGUUGUAAAUGAUUGUAUACACUUCAUUACAAAAUCAUAGUUAUGUUUUACUGAAAACUCAAGCACAAAGACAAUAAUAAUAGGCAAAAGAACUCAAGCACAUUAACAUAAUCACAAAAGAGCAGAGAUUUCAAGGCUUAUGUUUCACUCCAUAAACUUCAAAGUGCGAAGGAGAAAAAACUCGAUAAGUAUCAAAUAUAAAGUCUGCAUGGCACAAUUUUUAGUAACUGCAUAGGAUGUCUUAUAGAAUAUUUCUCUCAAAACACAAAUUUUAGUAAAUGAAACAUCUGGUAGCAAUUUAUUCAAGGGUCUAGUAUUAUAUUCCGUUCAGUUUUUUUCUCUGGCCGGUAGAAGUACUAUUAAGGGUUAUAUUACUUGUAUGUUGCUUAGGCAGAGGCAUCAGUAGGUUAGUUGAUAGUCCAAGGAACAUAAAGUAUUAAUUUUAUUUAUGUUUAAAAUCCAAAAAUUAUACACUUGUUGGAAUCUAAGGAUCCAAAUUGACAAAAUUCAAUUGAAACAUCUAAGAUAAAUGAAAUUAAACCAAAAGUUGUAGAACUAUUAUGGAUAAGUAUCACUCUUCAAUUCAGAUGGCCCUCUAACUUAGUUUGCUCUUAGAUUGAAUAUGAAAAUGCUGACAUAGAUGGGUAGGGAGAGAAAAAGCACAUUGCCAGCAAACUAUAUCUUUUUUGGAUAUGAGAAGAACCAUGCAGACAAACUACAGUGCGAAAACCAGAAGCCUCAAGCAAUUACAACUUGAACAUAAUUCAACUCUGACAUCAACAGAUUGGCACUAUCCAAUAAAAUUACAUUGCAAUCAAAAAGUUCCUACUAAAAAAAAAAAACAACAACAAAUCUUCGCAAGUAUCAAACUCUGAUAUUCUAAAAGAAACUAAAUACAUAUAUACAAUUUAUUUUGCAAACAAAUCAUAUAUGAAAGCAUUAUGAUUAACAGCAUAACAAAUCAUAUAUGAAAACAUUAUGAUUAGCAGCAUUAAGAUGUAAAAAAAAUAGAAGUGUUGUGACCUCUUCAACUAUAUGCCAUUUUUAUAAUUGUGAGGAGCAUCAAAAAAGGGAUUUUGUUCAAAUUUUUUACAUUCUACAACCGAAUAGCAAAAGAGGAACAUCAAAAGAGGGAGCUUUUUCCUUUUCUCACCUCGGAACCGCUCGGCCUCUUGAUUGUAAUCGAGAAGCUUCUGCUCGAUUCGCUUCCCGGAGGUGAAAUCGAACCCCGCGGAGGUGAAAUCGAAGGCCGCGGAGGGCUCGCUACCAAAUCAGAGAUGGAAAAAAUCAGAAAGAGAGAAAUAGGUUUUUUUUUUUUUUGCAAAUAAAAUUUUUACAGAGGUAUAUUAUAUAGGCAGCAAGAAGGGACCACGGAGGAUGAAUCCGAGCCAUUUUCGUGACCGGAGGGAAUGAAUAAGCCGAAACAAAGCGCCGCUAAUAGGAACGGCGCGACCGGAAGAAGGGACGACCAUGAACUCGGCCCAACAUUCCAUCUAGAAAGGGAAUAGGAGUCUGAGCGGCAUCUAGGGGGUGAACGAAAUGAAGUGUCGCCAAAGAAAACGGGGCGAUGGCAAGAAGUCCGGCCAUGAACUCAGCCCAACAGUCCGUCCAGAGAGGGAACAGGAGUCGGAGCGACACCUAGAGGAGCGAGCGAAGGAGCCGGAGGUGGAAGACGAUAUUAAUUAGAAGCAGGAAAGAUUAAAUAGGAAAAUUUAGUUGGGUGGGACCCACCCACUAAUUAAAUAACAGAGUGCCUUAUGAUGAUAGGUAGGGCCCACGGGAGAUUAGAUUAAGCUAAUGUUGCCACGUGGACAAAAGGAAAUAUGGAUUCAUAAGAGUUUAUAGAUUAUGUUGACUAUUGCGUUUAAAUCUAUUAUAUUAAAUGAAAUAUUGUACUAACAUAUUUUACUUAUAUUAGGUUGUUUUGAAGAAGGUUAGUGUUUGCAGAUUUUGUUUGAAGUUUGAAUUCUUUGUCUUUUUGGUUGUUCGUCAUUCUUCAAUGUAACUGCUACUGCAGAGGGCCUAUGCAAGCGUGGCUGCUGAAAUUGGAGAGAAGCAUCCAAUGCAUGCGGAAAACAUUAUGGAAGAUGCCAGUGGAAAAUGUCGCGCUAAAUUUUUUGUGAGUCCUCUCUCUAUGUCAGUAAAACUUUUAACUGGUUAUUUCUGGCUUCUUGGACUGAAUCUGUUUAUUUGUCACUUUUGAAAGCUCAAGAAACUUGUGGACCGCAUCGACGCGUCGGUAAGUCAACAGAUAGAUUUUGCAUUUGUUGAAAUUUGGCGUCGUGGGUGAUACACCGUGCUCUAAUUAUGUUUCUUCCCUUGAAUAUUGUUUCUGCUUAUUCUUGUAAGCAACUCUGUUUUCUAUUGAAAACUAAUUAUCUUGAUAGAUGCCCAGCAAAGAGGCACAUGAGCAAAUUAAGAAAGUUUGCGAUGAAGAGCUAAUUUUUUUAUUCCGAAUUUGUUUGACAUUUUAUUUAAUAUUUCUAUCGUUUCUGAACUCUCGUUCUUUGUUUGUAGCGGCCAAUGAGGUACAUGACUUUUGCUAGUUAUCUCGAGCUUAAGAUGCUGGUAGCAGAUAUCCUACCAAAGGUACGGAUUUCAAAUUAUAAAUGUGCAUAAAUGCAUAUAUUAUCGUAUGUACAAGACUCAGACUAUAUGUGCUCUUUAUUGCAGGAGCUUCAGGGCCUAUUACAGGAGCUAUACAGCGGAUCAGAGAACUGGUGGUGGCCACUUGGUGGCUGAUCUGGCGCAAUAGGAACAACGCUAUUUUUAGAUAUCUACACACUGACGUUUCGCUAACAAUCUAUUGUAUCGGAGUGUUGGUAAAAGAGUGGGCCGAACAUUGUAAAGCUGGGUAACGGCUGUGGCUUGAGCUAGACCUGGUCUUGAGUUUGUUUUUUUUUUUUUUUCCUUUUUUUCGUUUUUCCUUCUUUCCCUUGGUACUGUCGCUUUUCCGCCAUUCUGAGGCCUUAGUUGCCUCACCCUAUGUAGCUAAAUUUAUUUACUUAAUGAAUGACGCAGGUAGCGUGCUACCUCUUUCUCAAAAAAAAAAAAAAAAUUUAAAGGCGACCAAAAUAAAAAAUAUUAUAAAAAAAUAAUAGGCAUAAUUGCCUAUGUACCAUUCAAAAUUUUCGAAAUAUUCUAUAUACUCCUAAUUUUUUUGGUUACAAAUAUAUUCUCGUGCAUUCUCCAUUAUUAAAAAAUAUCUCCCCUGUUAGUAAUUAUUAAGCUAUCUCAAAUUAAACCUGAAUUAUAUUUCUACUAGAGUUAAAAAAAAAAAUCAAAAUAUCUCUUUUAUUCUUAGCUUAAGACAAAUAAGAAAAUUUGAUGAUAGUAGAAUAAUAUAUUUGAUAAGGCAAAAAGUCAAAAUACUUUCUUUAUCCCUAACUUAAGGGAAAAUAAGAAAAAUUAGUGACCGUAAUAGUAUAUAUUGAAAAGCAUUAAGAUGUAAAAAAAAUAGAAGUGUUGUGACCUCUUCAACUAUAUGCCAUUUUUAUAAUUGUGAGGAGCAUCAAAAAAGGGAUUUUGUUCAAAUUUUUUACAUUCUACAACCGAAUAGCAAAAGAGGAACAUCAAAAGAGGGAGCUUUUUUCUUUUCUCACCUCGGAACCGCUCGGCCUCUUGAUUGUAAUCGAGAAGCUUCUGCUCGAUUCGCUUCCCAGAGGUGAAAUCGAACCCCGCGGAGGUGAAAUCGAAGGCCGCGGAGGGCUCGCUACCAAAUCAGAGAUAGAAAAAAUCAGAAAGAGAGAAAUAGGUUUUUUUUUUUUUUGCAAAUAAAAUUUUUACAGAGGUAUAUUAUAUAGGCAGCAAGAAGGGACCACGGAGGAUGAAUCCGANAUAUUUGAUAAGGCAAAAAGUCAAAAUACUUUCUUUAUCCCUAACUUAAGGGAAAAUAAGAAAAAUUAGUGACCGUAAUAGUAUAUAUUGAAAAGGACAAAAUAGUAAUUUUUAAGAAAUAACAGCAGUUCCUACCAGUUCACUAACCGUAUUAAAAAAAGUAUUUUUAAUAUUAACCUUUUAAGAGCAAAUAAGAAAAGUUAUGGGCAGAUAAGAAAAGUUGGUGACGAUUGAAAGAUACAUUUGAAAGGGUACAAUAGUAAUUUUUUAGAAAUAACAUUUGUUCUCACUGUUCACUAACAGAAUAUAACUUGAGUAGAUGUAUAUUUGAAAUAAUUUGGAAUAUUAAAAAUAUAUAUCUAAUAUUAUGGUGUGUUUGAUUCAAAGUCGGAAUCGGUAUCGGAGUCGGAAUGAGAAUAAGCUGGAAACGGAAUCGGAAUGAUUCAUCACCUCAUUUUGUUUGGUUCACCAUCUGAAUUGAAAUCAGAAUGAAUCAUUUCCAUUGUUAGUGUUUGGUGAAAAUUAAAUAUUAAAAAUUUACGUCAAAAUUUUAAAAUAGUGUCAAAAUUUUAAGUAUAUUUUUUAAAAAAAUUUAAAAUUUGAAAUUGAAUGAAUAAUUCAAAAUAUAAAACUAAAUUUCGAUUUAUUCAAAUUCAAACUUAAAAUUAUAAUUUAAAUGAAUACAUAAAUUUAAUUUAAAUUUUAAAUAAAAUUUGAAUAAAAUUUUAGAUUUUAAAUUAAAUUUAAAUUAGAUUCAAAAUGCUUGAUUGAAUUUUAAUUUUUAAUUAAAAUUAAAAUUAAAAUUAAAAUUUAUAAAUAUAAUUUUUAAAGUUAAACUUAUGUUUUAAUUUAAAAAUAAGUUUAAAAAAAUUAAAUUUAAUCCGAACAAAUCAAUUCCGUUCAGAUUUAAUUUCCAAUUCGGCCUCUUAGGCCGAAUUGAGAAAAUGGGUACUUGGGGGGAUUCCCAUUCAUCCGAUAAUCGAAAUCGAAAUGGGAGUCCUGCAUAUCAAAUACUGGCAAAAGGAUUUGCUAAUUUCGAUUUCGAUUCAAAAAAGGGCGAACCAAACACGCUUAACCUUUUAAGAGCGGUAAAUAAAAAAGUUAGGAGUUUUUGAGGGGGUGUAUAACUUCAAAGAUCCCCCCUGUGGUUUCCAACUUUCUCACUUUAGUAUCCUGUGGUUUAAAGUGUAUCAAUUUGCCCUCCUGUGGUUUCGUUUUUCUCUUUUUUUUAUCAAUUUUAUUGUUUUUUUUUUUCAAAUCAAUAACAAAAUUAAAAUUAAAGGGUACUAAAGUAAAUAUUCAGUAAAUCUAGAUGGAUAUGUGAUAUUUUUUUGUAUAUAAUUUAACGAAAUAUUAAGGAAAAAGCUAUAGAAAAAAUAAAAACAAAACCACAUGGGGGCAAAUUGAUACUCUUUAAACCACAGGUACUAAAGUGAGAAUGUUGGAAACCACAGGGGCUUUUUAAAGUUUUCCCAAAAAUACUACAACAUUAAAAUUGUAGAAAUUAAAUUACCGAAAUGCCCUUUUCGAGUGCAAAUUGCAAAACUGCAAAUUGAUAUUCCCCGAAGGCCAAAGCAACUCACCGGAAGUUGGACUCCGCGCCGGUACCUCUCUCGGCUUCAGCCGAGCACUACUCCGCGUUUCCGACACCGAGCAGAGAGGGAGGAAGCGGGAGAGAGAGAGAAAGGGUGUCGGGAUUAGGGUUAGGGUUAGGGUUAGGGUUAAGGGUAGGGGAUGGUGGUGGUGGUGGAUCUGGGGGAGUUCGCGGAGGAGGGGUUCGACCCGAAGCGAUGGAUCAACGCGGCGCUGGAGGGCCGGCACCCGCAGGACCCGCUGGACCGCUUCAUGGCCGACGCGGAGGAGAGCCUCCGCUCCGCCGCCGACGGCAUCGCCGACGCCCUCGAGCGCGAGAGCGCCGACGCCCUCCGCCGCGUCCCCCUCGCCUGCCGCGACGUCCUCCGCCUCCGCGACGACGCCGUCGCCCUCCGCUCCGCUGUCGCAUCCAUCCUCAGCUCCCUCAGAGAGGUUCGUCUCGAUCUCCGCCACCAAAUGCAGAUUCUAAGACUUUACAGUCGGAAAUGAUUGGAUCCAGUGUUCUAAUUAUUACAGUUUGAUUGGGUUAGUGGAGUUCAAUUUGUGUUUGAAGAGGCUAAUUCUAAGAUUCAAAAAUGAUGGAUCCGGUGUGCUCAUUUUUCAAUCAUUACCAAAUUCAAAUUCUAAGGUUUGUUGGAAAUGAUGGAUCCAGUGUUCCUAUUGUCGUGUUAUUAUUUUGCUUUUAUCGCACUCUUUUUUUUUCUCGUGAAUUGAUAGUUUGAUUGGGUUAGUUAAGUUCAAACAAAUUUGGGUUUGAAGAGGGUAAUUCUAAGAUUCAAAAAUGAUGGAUCCUGUGUGCUUAUUUGUUAGAGUUAUUUCUCCAUCGAGUUCUUGUUUUUCUUGUGAAUUGAUAGCUUCAUUUGGUAAGUUAAGUUCAAUGAUGGAUGCAGUGUUCUUAUUGUUAUGUUGUUUUUUCUUUUGUCUCUGCUGUAGAUUGAUUGCAAGAUUAGAAUACGUAAAUUCAGUGCUUUUAUUUUGAAUGCAAUUGUGUUUCUGUCUCUCAAUUACCCAAUGCAAUUGCCAAAUUUGCGAAUGGUAGAUUCAGCUGACUUCUCUGUUUCUGGCAACCAAUUCAAAUGAUAGAUAUGAGAAAUUUUAGAUUCACUAUGCUUAUUUUGUCAAAGUCUUCCUUUUUUGUGUCAAUUGGUCUCAAUUGCAGAUUUAGCUUAAGUAGGUUGAUUGGAGGAACAAUGUUCUCCUAUGAUGAAAUGGAUAGUGGUGGUUUGACUGGAAAUGCUAGAUUUGGAAAUGUUGGACUCUUUGAUGUCCUUUACCUUCCAGUGAAUUAGGUUUCUAUUCUAGAUCUUUAACGUAACUUGGUUUCUGAAACUCCGAUGAGUCGUGUUAGUUUAUGUGCUUCGAUGAGGAGGGAAGAAAAAGAUCGUGCCAUAUAACAAAUGGCUUUCCUUUUGUUCUGUUCUUAAUUUGCUUUCUUCCAGUCUUCCGUUUUGUCUUGGAUGAGUGAUGUUCAACUUCACAGCAGAUGGCAUUCAAGGAUGGUAGGGCUAGUUUUGAUAUUCUUAAUUACCCAAUGCAAAUGCUAGAUUUGGAAUGUUAGAAUCAGUGUGCUUGUUUUGUUAAAUUCUUGCUUGUCUUGUAAAUUGGUCUCGAUCGCUCGAUUGGGUUUCUUAAGUUCAAGUGGUAUGCAUUUGUUUUUAUGUGCUUUGAUUGGAAAAGCAAUGAUGACCUCUGAUGAAAAGGAUUUAUGUUCUUUCUCUUGUAUUUUCGCAUGCUUCUUUUUAGAUUUAAAUGCAUGAGGGCGAAUUUCGGCACAGAUUGCAGCUGAUGAUGGUAAGGGAGAUGCCAUGUUUUGAUCGCUAGCGAUUCUUGUUAAGAGGAUUUGAUAUUUGUUUUGUGGGCUUACUGUCGUUUUUCUGGUCUUUCAUACUUUUUCAUUAUGCCCUUUAAUCUUGGAUGGGUAGAGUUAAAUCUAAGUGUAGAUGGUCAGGUCGUGAUAGUGAGGACUACAUAUUGCAUAUCUGCGGCCGCUAGUGUAUUUUGUAGAUUUCAUGGUGCAUUACUGUAACUUAAAUGUCUGAAUGAUCUAGUUUCAGUUCUUUGUUUAUUAAUUGUUUCUCUCUGUAGUUUUUCCAGAAUGUCCUGUUAUUUAUUGUUGCUAGAUAGGCAAAUUUAAGUAGAGUUAACCAGGAAUCAAUGCUAAUGGUUCAGAAGCUUGCACUCCAACAGCUGGUCGGAAGCUUGAUAGUGACUAUGCAUCUGCUCCUGGCACCUGCUUUAACUCUGCUUGCUUUUGAAGGCGGUGUUUACUUACUCUUUUACUGAUAAUCAGUUUGAAAAGUUUGAAAAGUUUUCCAAUCAGUUCAUUUCUUGUGCAGCUUCAUUUACAUUUUUUUAGUGGAUGGUCUCAUAUGAGUGAAGGAAUCAUGGCUUAAAUAAUUGGCUUGUUUUUAAAUGAGAUCUACUAGGAGACUGUCAGUCCCACUGGUUGGUUUACUUGGGUACUUACAGCAUCACCUCAAUAAUUGUGGUAUAGUGAACCAGAAAGACAAUGCUAUCUGCCCGUGCUUUUGUAUCUUAUGAUUUUAUCUGAUUUAACUUGAAACUAGUAAUUUAUUUCAUAUAGGAGAAUGUUAGUUGUGUUUUAUACAUUUAUGAUUUCAGACUCUAUACUGUCUAUGUUUCUCUAGAAGGUAUCAUCUGUAUGAAAUUACUGGAGUAUGGUCCUUGAGGCUAAAGACUACAAACUAAUCGGUUUUGUUAGGCAUCAAUUUAAUGUUAGUCGAAUGAAGUUUAAUAUAAGCUUUGCAAAUUUAAACUGACAGGCAGAGGGCACAUCUGCUGAAUCUAUAGCUGCUCUGGCGAGAAUUGAUACUGUUAAACGGCGGAUGGAAGCAGCAUAUGCAACGUUGCAGGUUUGAUUCUUUCCAUUUAUUGUUUUUAUAUGAUUUAGAUGAGUGUGAAAAUGUAAUAUCCUUAUUUUCUAUCUCAAUAUUAAAAUAUCAGCAUUGCAUUUUUAUAAUUUUGUAUGGAAUGAACAGGAUGCUGCUGGUCUGACCCAGUUGAGUGCUAGUGUAGAGGAUGUUUUUGCAAGUGGGGAUCUUCCACGAGCAGCAGAAACCCUUGCAACCAUGAGACAUUGCUUGUCAGCUGUUGGUGAGGUACUCUCUUGUUCUUCCUCUGAUAAUCUAAUGAAAAAUGUUAAUUUUUGAGAUAUAUUUGUCAAGAAGAAGCUUAAUUUUUCAGGUUGCAGAGUUUGCUAAUGUGAGAAAGCAGCUUGAAGUGUUGGAAGAUAGGCUGGAUGAGAUGGUCCUCCCUCGUUUAGUUGAUGCACUUUCAAAUCGCAAGGUGGUUCUUGUUUCAUUUGUCCCCUCCUUUUUCUUGUAUGUUUGGACCGUUGAUGACAAUAAGAGAUAUUCUAUGAUACACAUUGUAUGCUAACUUACCUUGUUGAGCUUGCAAUUUAUUUUUUUGAAGGUUGAUGCUGUUCAAGAUUUACGUCGUAUACUUAUUCGUAUUGGGAGGUUCAAGUCAUUAGAGCUGCAAUAUACUAAGAUGCACAUCAAACCGUUAAAAAAACUCUGGGAAGACUUUGACUUGAGACAAAGAGCUAACAAGCUAGAGAUGGAGAAGCAUGGUGAAAAUGCAGCCUCCCUUUCUUUUUCUAGCUGGCUACCGAGCUUCUAUGAUGAGACUCUACUAUACCUUGAACAAGAAUGGAAAUGGUAUGCUGGUUAUGUUUGCUCUUCGUUUUCUUGCAAUAUUUGAAGUUGUAUGGUUACCAUUAGUAACUGGAACCUAUGCUUUGUCAAUAACUUUAAUCUAUUUUUGUUUUUGGAAAUCUGCAUACUGGUGAUUUAACUGGAACCUAUACUUUGUCAAAACAUGGCUAACUUUUAACUGCCAAGAAUGGUGCGGUUACUACCAUUGUUAUUCGUAUCAUAUUUGGGUACUGCAGUGCGAACUUUUCUUCAUCAUUGCAUAUGAGUAGCAGAUGCUUAGUAAGUAGCAUAUGGUCAAUGACUAGAUGCAUUAAUUCAAAUGGAUUAAUUGCAGAUUUUCAACCUCGGAUUGGGACUGGUUCUUGAAUGAAAUAUCAUUAAGCAUAGCUAGUCUGAAUCAUGUAAAUGAUGAGAUUUGAAUGCUUUUUGUAUUGCUAUCAUAAACUAGAGCCAGAGAUGUAUUUUAAUUUGCGCAUUCAAAUGACAAUUAGGGUGCGUUUGGUUCGCGCUAUCUUUUAAAGAUUCCUAGUAAUCCAAUGGGAAUAAAAAAAUAUGACGGUGUUUGGCUAAACGCACUAAGUAAUCUAGUUGGUAAUAUUGGAUUCACUUGGGAAUAAGAUUCACCCCAAAGGACUAAUCUCAUUCCCUUGAGGGAGGGUGGGUAUUCUCAUAUUAAUGGAUUGGGGUAAUCAUAAUAUGUCUAAUCUUUUUCUUUCUUCCUACCCGCCAGCUAAUUGAUAUUAUUUUUCUUUACACUCUAACCUUAUAUCUCUCUCUAAACUUAUUGUUCUCUCUAAAAUUCAACUUUUUUUUCUCUCUCUAAACUAAGCUUUCUCUCUCUCUCUCUUUCUAAAAUUUCAACUCUCUCACCCCCUCUAAUUUCGACUAUAUUUUUCUUUCUAUUUUUUUAAUUAUGCUCUCUCUCUAACUUAUACUCUCUCUCCCUUUUUUCUAAAAAAAUGUUGAAACUUUUGGUAACAUUAUCUAAAAUUAAUUAAAUAAAUAAAUUAAUUAACUGUAUAUUUUUUGCAAUAUUAAAUAACAUGGCUAAUUAACAUUACCGUGCGAACCAAACACAGGAAUUCCACAUUCUUAGUAAUAGGAUGAAUAGGAAUAAGAUUCUCGAAUAUCUUUUAUUCCUAGUAAUCUUUCAUAAUGCGAACCAAACGCACCCUUAAACAUUUCUACUAUGACAACAACUAACUGUUGAAUCACUAGAAUGUGGAAAGUGCUCUUUACCUUAAUUAAUUUUUUGUAAAUGUUUUACCUUUCUAUAUGGUAUACAUUUGCAUAGGCUAAUCGAAACAAUAGUUGUUCUAUUGGUUGAUAUUUUAGGCAUACUGUUGAUAAUUUUUUUUUAUAUACCAUGCAACUGUUUUUAAAGAGAGGAGACACUAUUAUAUGCUAUUAAUCAAGGUUUUAAGUGCCCGUCGGUAUGGGCCGUAUCCACCAUGCCGUACCGUGCCAACAAGAUACCAGCACAAUACAGACCUCGUGCCGAUGGCACAGCUCAAAAUCCUCUAUUCUUUAAAUUAGUAAGUAAUUUUCUCAAUAAAGUUCAAAAGAUGUGAUAAAAAGACAUAAUAAAUAGUUAGAAUAUUUUGUUGCUAAAGAAAAUAAAUAUUUUAUGCUAUUAUGCGUCGGCACACAAGAAUUUUUUUGACCGGCACGCAUCGGCACGGCUCGGCACACACCGUGCUGUACCGUGCCGGCAAGUUUCCGGCACAACCCCGUGCCACGGCACUUAUCCUUGCUAUUAAUAAUAGAUGUUGCUCUUUUAAGUGGAGGAAGUUUCAUGCUGAAGAUUGUAAUACUUGCAGGUGCAUAAAUUCUCUCCCUGAUGAUUACAAAUCCCUGGUUCCAAAACUACUCAUUGAGGCCAUGAGUGAAUUGAAUGCUAGCUUUGUCUCCCGUCUCAACCUUGCAACAGGAGAUGUAGUUCCUGAAACCAAAACCCUAGCAAAAGGUGAGUCCUUGUUGAAUCUCCUUUUCUUAUUAUUAGGAAGCAUAUGUAGAAUAUGAAUUAUCUGUCAUUUAGUUUUCAUUUGUUUAUUCAGAUCAAAUGAUUUUCCUGUAACUUAUUGUUUGUUUAUAACAUAAGGUGUCAUAUCCUUGCAUCAUGCUCGCUGAGUUUCUCAUUUGUCAUGCUAACUAGGUCAAUUAACUUUCUGUAAGAAUCUGAAUACUCUAAGGCUCGCUGAGUUUCUCAUUUGUCAUGCUAACUAGGUCAAUUAACUUUCUGUAAGAAUCUGAAUACUCUAAGGCUCGCUGAGUUUCUCAUUUGUCAUGCUAACUAGGUCAAUUAACUUUCUGUAAGAAUCUGAAUACUCUAAGGCCUUGGCCAUUUUAAGAUAUUUUUCUGAUAUAAUAUAAUGGUUCGUUUAUCCGGUUAUUCAGGAAUUAUGGAUAUCUUGUCUGGCGACAUGCCAAAAGGCACUAAGCUGCAGAAUAAGCAUCUCGAGGCACUAAUCGAACUGCACAAUGUGACUGGUACUUUUGCAAGGAAUCUUCAGCAUCUAUUUUCAGAAUCUGAUCUUCUGAUUCUACUGAAUACACUGAAAGCUGUUUAUUCACCUUAUGAAUUGUUUAAAGUGAGGUGUGCAAAAUCUACUCUUCUCGAAGUAUAAAUGCAUCUGCAGUUAAUACGCAUUGCAUCGAAAUUGCAUCAUCAUUUAGGAGAGACUUUUUUUUUGGGUGUUGGUGGUGGGGGGGGGGGGGGUGAGGGUGGGGUUGUGUGUGGCUUUUACAUAUCAAUCCAUAAUUUAUCUAUUCAUUAUCUAUUCACAUACAUGCCCUUGCAAAAACUGAAUUUUAAUAUUUUUCCACUUAAAAGCACUCUCUUACAAAAGUAUCCUUAUCAUAUGUUGGAGAGUCGUCCAACUCUAAUUCAGGGGGAUGUUGGUUUUGUAUUUGAAAGGACGAUAAGACGCUGAAGGACGAUCAAUUUUGUUAGUAUAAUGGUAUAGCUAUAUCUAUAUCAGAGAUAUUCAGUUUAGGAUUUUAUAUUUGAAUAGAUUUCAUGUUCAGGGUUACAUAUGUAAACCCCGUUGUAAUUAUGGUCACUUUUAAUUGUUUAGUGACAAAACAUUUUUUUUUCCUUUUUCAGGUAUGGACAUAUGGAGCGUGCGAUACUUUCCUCUGAGAUCACAAGAAUAGAUAUUCGUGGAGCCGUUUCUCGCGGAGUUGGUGCACAGGGCAUAGAGCUCAGCGAAACUGUUCGUAGAAUGGAAGAAUCUAUCCCACAAAUCAUAGUGCUUCUCGAAGCAGCAGUUGAAAGAUGCAUCAACUUUACUGGUGGAUCUGAGGCUGAUGAACUUAUACUGGCCCUCGAUGAUAUCAUGUUGCAAUACUUGUCAAACCUACAAGAAACCCUAAAAUCCUUGAGAACAGUUUGUGGAGUUGACAAUACUACUACACAUAGUGAUAGCGCGAAAAAGGAUGCGGGUUUGGAUAGAAAGGAAGGUGGGGCCCGUUUAAUGGAUGUGGUUUCCGAAGAGGAGGAAUGGUCAAUUGUUCAGGGAGCUUUGCAGAUUCUCACUGUUGCAGAUUGUUUAAGUAGCAGAACAGCAGUUUUCGAGGCUUCUUUACGAGCUACUUUAGCUAGAAUCGGAACAAGUUUGUCUCUUUCUGUAUUUGGUUCGAGCUUAGACAAAUCUCAUGCAGCACCUGUCGAUGAGAAUGCGGAAGUUUUUGCAGGAAGGGCAGCCCUCGAUGUGGCGGCUUUGAGACUUACUGACGUGCCAGAAAAAGCUAAAAAGCUUUUUAAUUUACUAGAGCAGGUAGUUUGGUCUAUCCUGUUGAGAACCUUGCAUUUAGUGCUUUGUGGUGGCAAUGAAUGCAUAUGUCAUUGCCCAGAAAAGGAAAAGAAAAAGAGGAAAAACAGAGAAAGAGAGAAGCAUGCAUGAUGUGAAUAUAUAAUAACAGAUGCAUGUUUUAGAAAAUAGAGUACCCUACUGAUGGUAAAAGAUGGUUUUAAAUACACUAUCUUUUUUGGAUCAUAGAAGGUAGAAAAUUUACUUCCAGCAAGUUUAGAGAUUGUUGUGUUAUAUUCUGCACCAGAAUAAUAAGCAAGAUCCAGUUUAUAUACAAUUUGAAGACAUGAUAUUUUUAAGUUGCUUCUUGCAAAUGAAUGACGAGUAUUCUUCCUUCCCAUAUUACCCUUUUUCCAAUUUCUGUUCCUUACUGUGCAGUCAAAGGAUCCAAGGUUUCACGCACUCCCCCUCACGUCACAAAGGGUUGCGGCAUUCUCCGACACUGUGAACGAGCUCGUCUAUGACGUGCUCAUAUCCAAAGUCCGGCAACGCCUGAGCGAUGUGUCACGACUGCCGAUCUGGUCUUCCGUGGAGGAGCCAAGCGCUCUCCCUCUCCCGACCUUCAGUGCAUACCCGCAGGCCUAUGUGACCAGCGUCGGCGAGUAUCUCCUCACCUUGCCACAGCAGUUGGAGCCACUCGUAGAAGGCAUCUCUGGCAGUGAGGCCGGCAAUGAGGAGGCUCAGUUUUUUGCCACAGAAUGGAUGUUUAAGGUAACACACACGCACACACAAACAAACACAACACACACGCGCACAUAUAUGUAGUUCAUAUGGGAUACUAUUGGUAGUAAAUGAAUAGUGUUUUCUACCUACUCUCUAGCCUUUGGAUCAAAUAUUAAACUCAAGGCUAAAAACUAGGCAGCAAACACUGUUCCUCUACUAUUGAUAUUCUUAUGGAAGUAUUUGUACUCUGGUUACUCAAGGGUCUUUUUGGAAAAAUGGCUGAAAUGAAAAAAAAGAACCAUAAAUAUAUUAUAAUUUGCGCCUUGCCCUUCUGAAAGGGAAAAGUAACGUUUUAAUCCCCUUAAUGUGAAAAUCUUCUGCACUUUACCCCUUUCUGGUGUAUUUUCCGUCAAGAUAUAGUUAGGAAAAAAAAUUGAAAUAUUAUUUGAAACAUAAGUUAUACCAAUAGAAGGGAUCUAGUGCUGAAAACGUGAUGCUUUUUUUUUUUUUUUUUCUGUUUUUGCAACUUUGGCCUACUUUUCAGCUUUUAUGGUUAUACUGCCUCCUCCUCUAUCGAACAAUGUUGCAAAGUUUUGAAUGAUUGAUGUAUACGCAGACAUGGUUCACAUUAUGUCUUAAUCCAUCAAACUUUUAGAACUUUCAUCCAGGUAAUUCAGUUGAUGAGCAGUUUCGUCUCAGAAGUUGAAAUGUUGGCUAAUGCUGUAAAACUGAAAAAAGCACCCUUUGUGCAAACCUUAUGUUAAAUGAAAUUAUCAUCGGCCAAAGGAGAAUCAAACUCUUAGGCCCUGUUUGGAUGCCGAAAUAAGAAAUCCAAUGAUAACUUAUGUGAAUGAAACUUUUCUUGUGUGAUUGAAAGGCAGGAAUUUGAUCUUUUUUUUUCCUUUUAGAAAGAUCUUGGCAUUUAUGAUUUGAUAGGAUAGCAUAUUUUAUCUAUGAGAUAAUUUAUUUUAGUCCGAAAAAAUGACUAAAACAGUGAAUAUAGUAUCUCUUGUGGACAUCUGAUCAUACUCCUUAUCUAUUGAAUAUUAUUAUGAUUUUUGAGUAAAUCGAAGGGAUAUACCGCAUAAGAUAUUUAUGCAUCCAAACAGGACCUUGACAAUUUCUGCCAUUCUCCUCCUAAUGGUAUCCCAGCAUGAACACUUGAAUAUAAAGGAGAAAUGCUUUUAUCGCCUGUUCAUCGCAUUUUGACUCCUAUCCUUUUUUGCGCUCUUUGCCUACCGUAUUCGUUGUGCUAAUUCGAUCUUUUUGAUUUUUUCCUCCACUUUGGUAUUACUGCUAGGUGGCUGAGGGAGCCACAGCACUCUUCACGGAGCAGCUGCGAGGAAUCCACUUCAUCACCGACCGCGGCGCGCAGCAGCUCUCAGCCGAUAUAGAGUACCUGAGCAACGUUCUCUCCGCACUUUCGAUGCCAAUCCCUCCGUUCCUCUCCACAUUCCACACCUGCCUAUCAACACCAAGAGACCAACUCCGCGACCUCAUCAAGACCGACGGCGGGAGCCAGCUCGACCUCCCGACGGCCAAUCUCGUGUGCAGGAUACGCCGCAUUAGUUUAGAUUAGUGCUUUUGUUUUCUCUGAUUACUUUUUCCUCUUGAUUUCGCUUUUGCUUUGCAGAAGCUUAUUAUAAAGAAGUGUUGUCAUUUGAAUCUGAAUUGUCCCAUAUUCGUGUUGCAUACAUUUAAUUUCACACAGGAAGACAAUUUGUCAACACUAUAAUUCUAUUAUUAUCAGUACAAGUGUCAAACAAAACUGUGCUGAUGGGAAACUUUUUGUUUAUAUCUACAUGAUAUCCUAUAAAAGCAUUUGGAGUUUUAUCUGAAGAACAGUGACAAAAUUAGCAUGUUAAGCCUAGUUUGGAAAUACAUUGUUUAAAUGCACCUGCUUGAUAUUAAAGUUCGAAAAAAUUUACAACCAGUUUUAACUGUUUUAGCAUUCAAUAUGAUGGAAUGAUAGUAAAAAAUUGUCAUAUAAAAACAAAAUUCGCCUGUCCGUUCACACUUUCGUUGGACACUUAAUCGUUCAUCAUAUUUGUAUUUGUUGUGCCAAUAACACACAAUUGAUUUGUCCUCAUGUACAAACAACAUAUUUCCGUGAAGUAAUCAAAUUGCACACUUUUCACUUAUCCAAUCAAAUAAAAAUAGAAGACACAUCUAACACCACAAAAAGUCAGGGGAUUCCAACAGUAGUUGGUAAUUGGUAUACGUUUUCAUGUGAAUUCAAUGAUCAUCAUUUCUCAUUAACUAGCAGAUUAGUUAUUUGCACAGGUAACAGCAAUUGAGGAUGAGAUAGAUAAUGCGGUAGAGAGAAACGAUUAUUUUAUAUUAUUUUAACAUAAUGUCAGAGUUUAGUUUACAUCCAAACUUCUGGGGGUCUAACCAUCGUGUACCAACCGCGCAUGUAAAGUUAUUUGUGCCGCAUACUAGUCCUAGCUAUUAUAUGGAUUCAGUUUGUAUCAUGUAUUAGCUGAGAACUCCCAUAUCGAAUACAAAAUGGAAUCUUGAUCUGUAUAUAAUAUAAAUGGUAUUUUCACUUAAUAACUUAAGCUUUUUAGUGGGCCUGAAUCUCUCACUACGUGCAUGAUUUAUAUAGUACACAUAUAGUCAAAUUACGUGUAUGACUUGCACAAUACCCAUAUGACCCAAGUCAUUUUUCAUAGGAUUUUUUUCUAAAAAUUAGUUUUGUUGAAAUUUUUUAGUAUGUAAAAGUACACUUGUGAAAAUCUUAAUGGCCUAAAUUAGCCACAUAUGUUCAACAAUAGUCAACUAUUAAAAUAUAGAAAAUGAUGAAUCAUUCACUAUAUUUAGAAUGUACUCAACUAUUCACUACAUAUUUCAGCUUCUAAAAUAUCAACUACAUACAUGGUGCAUACAUGGCCUUUUAUAAAUAAAAUCUUGAUAAAAUGUAAAGACACCCCCCCCUAAACUUUCACAUAUUU